GUUUUUUUUCUAUACAUUUUUUAAAAAUUGAUGAACUUUUGUUAAAAUUCAAUGACAUUCUUGAAAAUUUGAUGAACCUUUCCCAAAUUUGCAAAAUAAAAAUAAAUCUACGAUGUUUUUAAAAAAGUGAUGUUUUUUUCUUUCAAACAUUCGAAUUUUUUCUUCAAAAAUGAUGAACUUUUUUAAAAAUAAUGAUUUUUUUUAUUUUUUUAUGAUUUUUUAAUCUUUUAUGGUUUGUCGAGAUUCAUUAGUUUUUAGAAAAGUCAACGGUUGAAGCGGGUCACAUGCCUGCCCGAGAGCGAACAAAGCAGGUCACAUACCUGCCUGAGAGCGAACAAAGCAGGUCACAUACCGACCCGAGAGCAAACGAAACAGGUCACAUACCGACCCGAGAGCGAACGAAGCAGGUCACAUACCGACCCGAGAGCGAAUGAACCAAACAUUGAUUUUUUUUUUAUUCAAGCGAACAAAGCAGACACGUGUCCCUUGUUGGGACAGACCCAGGUCACGAGUGCAUGACUGUCAACGAGCACAAGGGGCGCUGAACACGCUAUAUAGGAGGUAAUCAUUUCCCUGUCUGAAAAAGUUUCUGGAUUGUAGGGGCGGUCGAGGCUGAAUUUUGGGCCAAGCCUCAUAGUUGGGGAGGUCGCUAUAUUUUUUACAGCAACCAGGCCGUGCUACAUUCUAGUGAGUCCCUACGUCGCUGGACGCAGCUAUGUGUCGCCUGCAGCAACUGGGUGUCCUAUGUCUCGCAUUAAGCGAGACAGGAGCGAACCCCUCGCUGAAGGUAACCGCCACUUGGGUCAGCCCACGCCCGCGAGAAACACCAGCAUGUUUUCUGUUUUGUUCUUUUUCACGUGGUUUUUUUUCUUUUUUUCUUUUGUUUAUACUUUAAUAUAUAUAACACUUUAAAAACGCAUUUGAAAAAUGCUGAACAAGUAUUUUAAAGAUGUUAAUUUCUUUAAAUUGUUGAAAAAGUAAUUAAAAUUGUUUAAGUAUUUAAAAUGUUGAUCAAGUAUUUAAAAAAUGUUGAAUAAGUAUCAAAAAAUGUUGAACGAGCAUUUGGAAAUGUUGAAUAAGUAUAAAACAAUGUUGAACGAGUAUUUGAAAAAUAUUGAACAAGUAUUAGAAAAAUGUUGAAUAAGUACUAAAAUGUUGAGCAAUUAUUUAAAUCCAUAGUUGUGUUCUCCUAUUUGUACUCAUAACAAGAGUAUACAAUACAUGAAUGGUUCGCAUAUAAUCAUAACAAGAGUGCACAGAAAAAACAGAGUAUAUAAGGCUGCCAUGGCACCAUUUCUAGAAAGGAUGCCAUGGCACUUAACAAAUUCAGAAGCUUGCAUUUACUUAUGCUUUACACUAUUCACUAUCAAUUCUAAGUCACCAUUUCUGCUUCACAUUUCUAGAAUGGGAUUUCGAGGUAUUCAGAAACAAGGAAACAAGGAAAAUUCAUGGUCAGAAACUGGAGUCAUGAAGGCUUAUUGUAGGAAACAAGGAAAAUUCCAGCAAGGCAUGAUUUCACUAACCUUUGGUACUACUCAAGUAAGUUUUGAACCUACUCCUACUCCUACUCCUGGUCCAUUCUAACUACUCAAGGAAAAUUAAGUAACUGAAUACCAGCAGCUUUCUGAAAAUGUUGGGACUUGGCCAUAAAAAAUCUGAAGUUUAAACUUGGCCAUGAUAUGAAGUUUAAACUACUCAUGCAUAUAAUCUUGUUGAAUAGAAAUUGACACUAGAAGUACUGAAAAUGGACACUAGAGUAAUUACUGUCUACAGAAAAUGGACACUUAUUGAUUCCCAUUCAACAAUAUAGUGACACUAGAGUAAUUACUGGAGAUCAACAGGCAACAACAGCAUCGAUCCUGAAAAUCUAAAUGAAAAUGUAUGCUACAAAUUCAAACAACAAUACCAAUCCACACAUUUAUGGGUGUCUAUUUAUGCUCUUUUUCUGUUUAUGAUUUUGUUUAUGUUCUCAAGCACAUUUCCAGUGUAACAGUUUGACAAAAAACACAUGGUCUUUUUAACAGUUUUCUGUUUAAUUUGAUGGAAAUAAUCUUAAGCAAAUCUCGAGCUUUUUGUCAUUUCCACUUGCUGGCCAUUUUUGCCAAUUAAAAUUCAUGGAAUGAGCAACAAUGAACAUGUAUAUGAAAUAUUUUGGAUGGCCCAAAUGUAGACUGUUGUUAUGCUUCAUGUCCAUUUUGAUACUAUCUUUGAUAGUCCGAAUUUCCAUCAAAAACAGAGUGUAGUUACUCUGUUUCAACAACUACUAAAGUCAAAAUACAGGGCAAUACUCAAUCCAUUCUUCUGAGUUAAGUACAGGGCAAAAUACAUAUCUCUGCAUUUUGUUUGGAACUGUGCCUUGAGUAUGAUAUUUACUGAUAAUCAUUCAAAUUACUCAGACUGGAUAUUUACUGAUAAUCAUUCAAAUGAUCUGAGAGUUGCAUAUACUCACAGACCAUGCAUUCUGUGGAAAACAUACAUCAAAUGCUAGUUGUUCACAAUUCAAAAUAACUUCACAGGGAUCUUCUGAAUUUAUACAUAAUGCCUUGUAAAUUGAUGGAGUACAGUAGUUGACAAUCAUUUGAUGAAACACUGAAUACAAUUGACAUUUUUAUUUACUCCAUUGACACUGCAAUUGACAUUUUUAUUACUCCAAUUAACACUGCAAUUGACACUCAUGGAGUACUUCAUUGACACUGCAACUGAUACUGCAAUUGACACAGGUUCAGAGUACUGUACCUGCAGCCAACAGCAGCAGCAGAGGCAUUCAGCAGUCGCCAACGGCAGCAGCUGGAUGGGGACGGCAGGCGGCAGCGGCAACAGCAGGUGGCGGGCAGGCGGCAGCAACAGCAGCAGGUCCGCGUGGUCGUCUCGCCGCCGGGGAAGAUCCGCGUGACCCUGCCUGCCGAAGUAAGCGAGAGGGCAGCGGCGGCCGGGGUUGGCAGCGGCGGCUGGGGUUGCCGCGGGCUUGAGGAACCGGCCAGGGACGCGAGCAGAGUGACUAAGAGGAGAUGCCCGUCGAGGUGGUCGCCUUGGAGGAGCAGCCGCAGGUGGGCGGCGAGGCACCGGCGAAGGUGGGCGGCGGUGCAGGUGGGCCUUGGUCGCCCGCUGGCCGACGGUGGCUACGACGGCCGCUUGGUCCAGCCGCGGGCGAAGGAGGAAGAAGCAGAGGUGAGGGGGGAUUAGCAAGAAAUUUAAAACCAGAAGGGUUGUAUGCCAGUCCGAUUCGAACCCGAGGUGGCCUGGGUCUGUUCCCCAACCAGAGCCAAGGUUCUAUAUAAACGAAGCCUGGGCUGCUCCGGCUGGUAACCUAUUCAAAAGCACAAGUCUGUUGUACUUUGGAGAAAGAGAGAAAGAGAGCCAUGGUGCUUACGCACAAGGAGGAGGGCGACGACUGCUAUCUCCCGCCGCCGGUGGUCAUCGGGCCCGACGAGGACGGUGUGAGAAAGGUUAUCGAGUACCGCAUAGAAGAGGGCAUGGUUCUAAAGGUGACCACGACCACCCGCUCCCGCUCUAAACUCGCCGCCAAGGAGCACCGCUCGUGGGCCAGGUUCGGCGACGCCACCGACGACGACGCCACCUUCCGCUCACGUAAUCCUCCGCACCCAAACGUGUUCUCCUCCCAGGAAGUCUUUCUCGAUCGCCCUGGGAUUGGCAGCAGAGCUGCAAGAGGCGGUCCAGUGGCGGCCAUGCUCGCCGGCGAGCGAGAUGGUUCCGUGGUUUGCAGGACCUGCAAGAAGGGCUACCACUGGACGUCAAGGUGCCCAUACAGUGACCUUUAUUCCCAGCUGGAAGCCUUGGAUGAGCAGCCGAAACCCGCGUGUGAAGGAGGUCGCUCCGCCGCAUACGUUCCUCCAAAGUUGAAGCCUGGGGGCGGUGACAACAUGAGGCGGAGGAACCACGACAACACCGUCCGCGUGGACAAUCUUUCGGAGAAAGUCCGUGAUCCAGACCUUCUGGAGCUGUUUGCCGCGGUUGGCCCGGUUCGCCGUGCACAUGUCGCCGUGGAUCGCAGGACAGGGUCUAGCAAGGGUUUGGAUUCGUAGAGUUCGUCCGCAGAGCAGAUGCUGAAAGGGCUAUCCACACCCUCGAUCGUUACGGCUACGAUCACCUCAUCAUCCGUGUGGAGCGACCAGAACGACGCGUCGCCUGAGCUAACCUCCGUGUGUUUGGACGGCACUGGAAUCUUUGAGAGCUGGGCGUCGGCAAAAGCUUGGCUCUGGUCAUCCUCACAUCUUGUGUGGUAUAGCAUUCUCUUAGGAAUAGGAUCUCACCAAGUUAUUUGCAUAUGCAAUAUCUUGUUGCAUUGAUCAUGUAUCUAUGUGUUAUUAUUUUUUAUUUUUUUGCGAAUGUAUCUAUUGUUAUUUAGAUAUGCAAUAUCUUGUUUGCAUUGAUCAUGUAACCAUAUUCUUUAUGAUCACUCGCCAUGUAUUUAUUUAUAUUUUGAAAAUACAUUCUCAAUCUAUCUGGAAUUGGUAGGUCUCAUUUUUAAUCAUUGUAAAUUUUAUACCUACUAAUAAAUCUCUUAAUACGACCAAAAUAUUUUUUUACCAUACCGAGCCAUUUAUAUAUUAUUGUUGAAAUAUGGAAAAUGCAUAUACUUUAUAGUGCAACAGAAUGAUUUAAUAAGUAGCAACAUACUAUGUUCACUCAGCAAAAGUUGUUCGUUCAGAAGUAGGUGCUUAGGGCACUUUGGGAGGACUAAAAUCAAUAAGAAUGAGACCGAACUUGUCAUUUCCCACUUGGCUCAUGCCCCUCCUUGACAUUACACUUCUUGGUAAUAAUGCAUAUUGAGAAAUACGCUAUAAGCUAUUUUCAGUUUGCUAAAAAAAUCAUAAGCUCCAUGGAAUAUUGGUAGGUUAACACUUUUGUAGAACAGUAAUUAAUAGUCCAGAAAUACACAAAGUGAACCAUGCAAUUCUUUCUAAAGUUAACCAUUGUUAUGACCGACUAAAAAAACAUAGUAGUGACCUUAAAAAAAGUGAGGCCAAUAGCAGUCGCGCGAAGGUUCUGUGGAGUGCGUGUUUCCUCACCGCAACGGAGUUGUCAUGUGUUUACUCCUCCCAUAGGAGCAGGCUUCCCGAUUGGUUUGUGCUUGUGAUCUCCAAAUUUGCCAUGACAAAUGAUUUGUAAUUCAUACCAUUUUUCUACAUUAUCUCAUCAAUUAGACAUCAGUUUUAUUUCAUAUACCAUGACAAAUUACAAUGAAUUAGAGAUCGUUUGCCUCGGCAAAUUAUCAUCAAUUAGCAAAUUUACAAUCUUUUAUAGCUAACAUCUUUUUCUGGUAAAUAGUUGCCAUCGCAUAAUUGCUAUGAAUUUUCAUAGACCAUGUCAAAAUGCUAUUAAUUUUUAGAGACCAUUUUCCCAUGUAAAUGCACAAUGUUCUCUAAAUUUCCCAUGUAUUAGAGAUCUCUAAAUUUUGCCAUGAAAAUGAUUUAUAAUCCAUACCAUUUUUUCUACAUUUCUCAUGAAUUAGAUAUCGCUUAGUUUCAUAUUCCAUGGCAAAUUACUAUGAAUUCGAGAUUGUUUGCCAUUGAAAAUUAUACAUCAUGGGGUCUGCAAUGCUUGUUAAAGCUAGGCAUUUUGUUUUAAAGAUGUGUUUCCAUGGCAACUAAAAGCAUAUGUUGCCAUGACAGUAACUUUUUGUUGUGUAUUUUCCAUAGCAAUUUGAAGAAUGUUGCCAUGGUUACUUAAAAAAUUGCCAUACUUUUUGUAAAAAAAUACAAUGACAUACAUUUUUCCACAUUUGCCAUCAAUUAGGGAUCAUUUCCUUCGUACUCUAUCAUGGCAAAUUCAUUUUUUACCAUGGCAAAAGAAAUGGACCAUUCAAUUUUAUUUUGAGGCCAUGGCAAAUAUAUCUUGUAUGUGCAAUGGCCAAUCUCCUUUUUCUAACCAUGGAACAUCUUUUUCUUUGACAAUGGCAAAUCUUUUUCUUCACAAUGGCAGAUCUCCUUUCUUUGGCAAAUGCCAAAUAUCUUUAUGGGCGACGGAAAAUCUAUUUAUUUUACAAUUGCAAAUUCCUUUUUUGGACCAUUUGCUAUUAUUAGUUUUAAGUUUUUUUUUCCAAAUUCUUACUGUAUGGACCAUGCAUGUUUUUUCUUUUGGGCUUUUGAAAAUUUUACCGAACAACCCAUGGUCUUGAUUUCGUUAUGUCAUCAUAGCAAAUUUAUUUUUUGGACUGAGGCAAAAGAUUGAAUAUUUUUUGUACCAUGGCAAAAAAUGAUUAUUUUGGACCAUGUCAGAUCUAUUGUUUGCACCUUGGCAAAAAGUUGAAAUUUUUUUACCACAUCAAAAAAAUGACCAUGGAAAAUUUAUUCUUCAGACCAUGGCAAAUUCGUUUUUCUACACAACAAGGCAUUUUUUAUCUUAUGCACCGUCAUAAUUUUCUGUUUCGAUUUUUUUGAAACACGGCAAAUUUUGUUGAACAAAACAUGAUAAAUUAUGUUUGUAUAUACCAUGGCAAAUUACUUGUACAUCACAUGAAAAAAAAUGACUUUUUCAUGAGGCUUUUCACAAUUUUUCUUUGUAUCAACCAUUUUUGCCAUCAUAUUAUUUGAAACAAAUGGCAACUUAUAGGUUCAUACAUGAUUGUUAUGUUCUUUAGUUUUCCAUGCAUGGCAAGUGUAACAUUUCAUGUACGUCAGUUUACAUACAACCACCAUGGCUAAUUUUUGUGUAUAUAAGAUAUUUUAAGAUUUAGCAAACUUUUGUACGAACAGCCACCCACUAGCUGGUUGUUUGUACUUCUUAAGGCAUUGCAAAAUAAAAUCAGCGCAUUUUUUAUCUGAUCCAUUUUGAACAUGAUGGUAGUUUUGUUUUUAUAUUAUGGCAGUUUGAUUUAUUUUAGUUUUGAUAUUCGAAGUCAUGUCCAAAUAACAGUCUUAGGCUUUUGGUUCUAGUAGCAUGAAACUGGGCUUUUUAUUUGGUAUAAGAAUGACGCUGGGAGGGGGAGGCCCAUGAAAAAGGCCCCGCCGCCGGUCCUACUCCUUCCUGCCCAGGCCCCAGCAUAUCUGUCGUUCGCCUGGUAUUGUGGUUCUUUUGGAAUGUUACAAACAUUUCUUAAAAAUUACAUGAAUAACUUUUUACACUAUAUUAACAUUUUUCUAAAAGUGUGUUUAAAUUUUUCAAAAAUUUAAGUAAAUUAAUGUUUGAUUAUGUGUAUUUAGAAUAUUUCUAAAUAGAAACAAAUGUAAUUUUUAUAGAAACCUAGAAACAAAUGUAAUAAAACAGAAAAAAUGCAUACGUGCACUAGCUCGUAAAAGUGUGAGCCUCGCUCGUGUCACGCAUUGGGCCUGGCCCAACUAGGGGAGCUGCACGCGUUGUUGUCUAAAAAAGAAGAAUCGUUUUAAGAGCAACUCUAGCAGAUGUUGUAUAUUUCCAUCCCGCAAAAACAGGUUAUGGCUCCCCCUAAAACGAAUUUACGGUAUGAUAUGUGUGUCGGCAGAAUAGAUCCCGUAUAAAUUGUUAUAAAUUAGCAUAAAGUCCCCUAAAAGCAAAAUCUAAAUUCCAAUUGGAUCCAUGCACGACCAAGGCGAAGAUGAGGAUGGCGUUGAUGCCAUAAUGCAGGUUGGGGUUGCACAGGGAGAUGGUCACCACGGCGUUGUACGACAGGAGCUGGAGCGGCGGCCUCGUAGUGGAGUUGGGGGCCGGGGCAAGCUCGAAGCACGUGAGAAAGGGCGUUGUUGGCGCUGGCCGUAGGUGGCUUCACAAUGAUGAAGGUGAAGAUGAGGAUGGCAAGGACGAGAUGGCGGCCGUGGUCCAGCUGCAGCACUCCCACUCGCACUACUGCCACCAUUCGUGAGACCAAUCACGCUGCCAGAAGCCCGCGGGUUGCUCAGCUGAUUAGUAGAUCUUUCCGGGUGGAGGCUGGGGGAGGUGGCUCAACUAGGAGCGUGGAGCUGGAGCAUGCAUGACAAGGGGAGAAGAAGGGGUCUAGAGCCGGAGACUUGUGUCAAGGGGUGGGUCCUGGGACGCCGUCGUCCCCGUCGCUUGAGUGUGGCCGCGUCCGGGGAAGGGGAGCGGCACGACCGUGUCUAGGGGAAGGGAUGUGGCGCCCGGAUAAUUAAGCUAUAGUAACUUUCUACUAAUGAUGCCACGUCACCUCGAUUACUGUUGCUAAUCUCACGUUAGUUCGAAACUGAUUUAAAUUCAAAUUCAAAAUCAAGCAAACAAUAAAAGUUUUCAAAUAUUAAAACUAAAAUGUUCGGGGUGAGCCAAAUAAUCCAUACUAAAUAUUGGUGUAGAAACCACACUCCUCUAAAGUAUUUAAAUGCACCAUCGCAAUUAAAACAGCGGCAAAACUGUUAUUUAAUAAAUACUUUUAAAUAAUAAAUAAUUACAAAACUAUUUUAUUUAGGUGCCAAAAUUAAUGUGGCAGUAGUAUAUUUAUAAAUACAAAUUUAGGUGCUAGUGUUAAUUUUUAUAAAACUGAAAUAAAAAGGAACAAAAAUAAAACAGAAAAAAAGGAAAAGACUAAACAAAGAAAUAAAGUCAAACAAGAGAAAAGAGAAAAGCCCCCACCCCCCACUGGGCCACGGCCCAGCUAACCGGCCAGCCCACUAACCUAGCCGGCCCACCCCCACUCCCCAUAGCCCCCCACUCCACCCCGAAACCCUAACCGAACCAACCCACUCCCCCCUCACUCCCUCGUCCCCCCGAUNNNNNNNNNNNNNNNNNNNNNNNNNNNNNNNNNNNNNNNNNNNNNNNNNNNNNNNNNNNNNNNNNNNNNNNNNNNNNNNNNNNNNNNNNNNNNNNNNNNNNNNNNNNNNNNNNNNNNNNNNNNNNNNNNNNNNNNNNNNNNNNNNNNNNNNNNNNNNNNNNNNNNNNNNNNNNNNNNNNNNNNNNNNNNNNNNNNNNNNNNNNNNNNNNNNNNNNNNNNNNNNNNNNNNNNNNNNNNNNNNNNNNNNNNNNNNNNNNNNNNNNNNNNNNNNNNNNNNNNNNNNNNNNNNNNNNNNNNNNNNNNNNNNNNNNNNNNNNNNNNNNNNNNNNNNNNNNNNNNNNNNNNNNNNNNNNNNNNNNNNNNNNNNNNNNNNNNNNNNNNNNNNNNNNNNNNNNNNNNNNNNNNNNNNNNNNNNNNNNNNNNNNNNNNNNNNNNNNNNNNNNNNNNNNNNNNNNNNNNNNNNNNNNNNNNNNNNNNNNNNNNNNNNNNNNNNNNNNNNNNNNNNNNNNNNNNNNNNNNNNNNNNNNNNNNNNNNNNNNNNNNNNNNNNNNNNNNNNNNNNNNNNNNNNNNNNNNNNNNNNNNNNNNNNNNNNNNNNNNNNNNNNNNNNNNNNNNNNNNNNNNNNNNNNNNNNNNNNNNNNNNNNNNNNNNNNNNNNNNNNNNNNNNNNNNNNNNNNNNNNNNNNNNNNNNNNNNNNNNNNNNNNNNNNNNNNNNNNNNNNNNNNNNNNNNNNNNNNNNNNNNNNNNNNNNNNNNNNNNNNNNNNNNNNNNNNNNNNNNNNNNNNNNNNNNNNNNNNNNNNNNNNNNNNNNNNNNNNNNNNNNNNNNNNNNNNNNNNNNNNNNNNNNNNNNNNNNCCACCACCUCCAGCCGCGUCCCCCUGCGCCCGCUCCGCCCAGCCGGUUCGCGACCACCCCUCCGCCGUCUCCCCUGGUCCUGGCCGCCGGCGAGCGCCGUGCGUGCCCAGCGCCCCUCGGGCAUGCGCCCGUUCGGGCUAUGCCCGUUAACCAGCGCGCCCGUUCCAGUGGCCCAUUGGCCACUGACAGCCGGGGCCCGGAACCUUGAGAACGUUUAUAAAAAAAAGAAAUAAAAAAUAUAAAGAAAUAAUAAAAAUAAAAAUAAUUAACUUAAUUAAUUUUGAUUAAUUAAACUAAACAACCAAUUAAGCUAAUUAAACAUUAGUUACCUAAUUAACCUAAUUAGCUAAUUAAGUAGUCAAUGACAGUGGGGCCCACCCCUAAUUAAUCCUGAUUAGGUUAAUUAAUAUGUUUACUUAAAAUAUGUCACUGACCAGUGGGACCCACUGGUCAGGUUGACCAGUCAACCCCUGUUGGCUGCUGACGUUAGCAUGACAUCAUGCUGAUGUCGUAAAUCCAGUUUCGAAUUAAAUUAAUUCUGUUAAUUCUAAAAAUGAUUUUAAACUUUGAAAAUUAAUAUAAAAUAAACUGUACCUCGGAUGAAAAUACUUUGUACAUGAAAGUUGCUCAGAACGACGAGACGAAUCCAGAUACGCAGCCCGUUCGUCCGUCACACACCCCUAGCAUAUCGAACACGCAACUUUCCCCCUCCGGUUCAUCUGUCCGAAAACGCGAAACACCGAGAAUACUUUCCCGGAUGUUUUCCCCCUUCACCGGUAUCACCUCAUACCGCGUUAGAACACGUCUAGCUCUGCCUGUUGUCCUGUUAUGCACUUGCUUGCUAUGUAUUUACUGUUUCUCCCCCUCUUCUCUUCGGUAGACCCCGUGACGAUGUUGAUGCCCCUGUGAUCGACUACGGUGUUGACGACCCCUCCUUGCCAGAACAACCAGGCAAGCCCCCCCCCUUGAUCACCAGAUAUCACCUAUUCUUCUCUAUACAGCUUGCAUUAGAGUAGUGUAGCAUGUUACUGCUUUCGGUUAAUCCUAUACUGAUGCAUAGCCUGUCAUUGUUGCUACAGUUGUUACCCUUACCUGCUAUCCUACUGCUUAGUAUAGGAUGCUAGUGUUCCAUCAGUGGCCCUACACUCUUGUCCGUCUGCCAUGCUAUACUACUGGGCCGUGAUCACUUCGGGAGGUGAUCACGGGUAUAUACUAUAUACUUUUUAUACAUGACACAUGUGGUGACUAAAGUCGGGUCGGCUCGUUGAGUACCCGCAAGUGAUUCUGAUGAGGGGGCUGAAAGGACAGGUGGCUCCAUCCCGGUAGAGGUGGGCCUGGGUUCCUGACGGCCCCCGACUGUUACUUUGUGGCGGAGCGACAGGGCAGGUUGAGACCACCUAGGAGAAAGGUGGGCCUGGCCAUGGUCGGCGUUCGCGGAUACUUAACACGCUUAACGAGAUCUUGGUAUUUGAUCUGAGUCUGGCCAUUAGGUCUAUACGCACUAACCAACUACGCGGGAACAGUUAUGGGUACUCGACGUCGUGGUAUUAGCCGAAGCUCUUUUUGACGUCAGCAACGGAGCGGCGCGCGCCGGAUUGGACUGGAACGCCUGCUAGGCUAGGUCUGCUUCCGGCCGCCCUCGCAACGUGCAGGUGUGCAAUGGGCGAUGGGCCCAGACCCCUGCGCGCAUAGGAUUUAGACCGGCGUGCUGACCUCUCUGUUGAGCCUAGGUGGGGCUGCGACGUGUUGAUCUUCCGAGGCCGGGCAUGACCCAGGAAAGUGUGUCCGGCCAAAUGGGAUCAAGCGUGUUGGGUUAUGUGGUGCACCCCUGCAGGGAAGUUUAUCUAUUCGAAUAGCCGUGUCCCUCGGUAAAAGGACGACCCGGAGUUGUACCUUGACCUUAUGACAACUAGAACUGGAUACUUAAUAAAACACACCCUUCCAAGUGCCAGAUAUAACCCGGUGACCGCUCUCUAACAGGGCGACGAGGAGGGGAUCGCCUGGUAGGAUUAUGCUAUGCGAUGCUACUUGGUGAACCUACCAUCUACUCUCUUCUACAUGCUGCAAGAUGGAGGUGGCCAGAAGCGUAGUCUUCGACAGGAUUAGCUAUCCCCCUCUUAUUCUGGCAUUCUACAGUUCAGUCCACCGAUAUGGCCCUUUACACAUAUACCCAUGCAUAUGUAGUGUAGCUCCUUGCUUGCGAGUAUUUUGGAUGAGUACUCACGGUUGCUUUUCUCCCUCUUUUCCCCUUUCUAUACCUGGUUGUCGCAACCAGAUGCUGGAGUCCAGGAGCUAGAGAUCCCGAGGAUGAUUCUACGUGGAGUUCAGCUUCGAGGAGUAGUUAGGAGGUCCCAGGCAGGAGGCCUUGCCUUUUCGAUCGUUGCUACUUUUGUGCUAGCCUUCUUGAGGCAAACUUGUUUAACUUAUGUCUGUACUUAGAUAUUGUUGCUUCCGCUGACUCGUCUAUGAUCGAGCACUUGUAUUCGAGCCCUCGAGGCUCCUGGCUUGUAUUAUGAUGCUUGUAUGACUUAUUUAUGUUUUAGAGUUGUGUUGUGAUAUCUUCCCGUGAGUCCUUGAUCUCGACCGUACACGUUUGCGUGCAUGAUUAGUGUACGAUUGAAUUGGGGGCGUCACAAGUUGGUAUCAGAGCCGACUGCCUGUAGGAAUCCCCCUUCCAAACUCCUUGGCCGAAGUCGAGUCUAGUCAUUGAAAAACUUCUACUAACAUGGCUGUGUGGCUUAUGGGCCCAUGUCGCCAUUGGGUGGUAUUAGGAUCUUUUACUCCUUGUCUAUACUCUGGGACUCUGAUCUCUCUUCUAUUCGGGUUAAGUGAAUUUUGCUAAAUCUAACAUUAGGAUCUCGUUAUCACUUUCACCCGGAGAGCCCCUUAUUACUGAUGAUCGUCUGCUGCACGUGAAGACCCUGAAGAUACUCUCCGCUGAUAACCCGAGAACUUGUGUUCAUCGCUUUUGCAAUUCCCUUUCAUCGAUAAACUCCUAUGGAUAACCACGUAUACUCGCCAUUCAUACAAUGUUUCCCAGUUGAUCUUGUUAUUACAAGAUACCCCGAAAUUUUCUCUCUGUUGUUCCGAGAAUCCUUUUUGCCUACUGCCUUGCUGUUCUUUGCCACAUGAAUACCACUAUGGAUGAUUUCUAGCACUCACCGGAUAUUUGCUCAUCCCCAGUUGAUUCAUGUAUUUCACAAAAGUCUUCAAAAUACUAUUUGAACUUCCGAAAAUCCUGAGUAGCCUAUUGCUCUUGAAAUUCUUACUUGCUUGCAUUAUGGUUAAUCCCAUAAGUCUACAAUCUUAUUGGCAUCUCUUGUCAUUAUCAUUUUGAGUCCAUUGAUUCAAUUUGUUGCGAAUGCUCGCAAUCCUCAAUCAGAUCCUAGAAUUCAUCCUUCCGGCUCAUACGUCAUUUUAAACGUGAGCUGGUUCUCGCCAAUCAAAUUGUCGUCGAUUGUGUCCCUAAGUCUAUUGAACUUAUCCAUCCUUGAUCAGAGCGUCUGCUUCUGAUCCUUCGCGUUGUAAAUCAUAAUUCCUUUGCAAUUGAGCUCUAAGUUACUCAGUUGUUUCUAUAAUCCAAUGUCUUUGCAUUGAUUCUUCCUCUGGUUGUGAGCCGAUACUCACAUCAGAUCCUUUAUGGACCAUCAGAACCUUGUUGGAUUUUAUCCGACAACGUCCUUCAUAUUCAAUCACUUUGGAAGUUCUUUCCCUGAUACAUAAUGCCUUUGGUAAAUCCUAUUCCUUGAUUUGGCCAACCAUGCUCUGUUUUUGAGCUGGUGAUUUUACUCUUGAAGUUUGAGGUAUAUGUUUCUAAGAUUCCCCGAUGGAUUGAACCUAUACCUUCCCUAAAAACCGUAUGAACCCGAAGGUUUUCACAAGCCAUACCCUGCUGGUAUUUUACCAGAUAAUUUUCUACCAUACAACUUCAUCGAAUGCAAGAAGUGAAUGAAAGGUUAUGCAUUGGAGAAGUGGGAGUCGACCUUGAACUUUGUGUUCAUGCCCAUGGACACGAUGUAGAUCUUAUCAUUAAAAGCUUCUCUUAAAUUAAUUAUUCCCUUGGUAUAAGUUCAUCUUAUAUCUGGGAUCUGGCCUUUUGCAAUCGUGGUUAUGACCAUGUUCUCCUUUAAAUACCAUUUCUCGUACAAGUUAAGCACUUGUCUUCUGCAGAGCAAUACCCCAGUCCAACCUCUACUUUGGUUUGUCGUCGAGUAUUACCCCCUGGUAUCUCGAGAUUAUCACGGAACUGCAUAACUUCUUAUGAGUUCUUCAUCAAGUACUACAUUCUCACUGAUUACAGUUUUUCACGGGCUUCGAGUUAUUAAACACUCAAGGACAUCGAUAACUGAAUUGAGUCUGCGUCGCGAUUAAACAACUCUUAGUAAUCUUCUUUACUUGCGAGUUUGUACUCGAUCACGUCAUUCCUAGCCUGAUUGGCUAUAUAAUUAUCGUGCUAAAUUUUAACUGUGCUACCGGGUCCUUCUUCCCAGAUCACAAAUUGCGACAGUGAGCUAAUCUUACAAUCGAUCUUCCUCGUCAUAUCACUUCUCCUUGAACAGCAAACUUGAUUUCGAGUUUGUGUCCUAACCGUGGUUCCAAUAACCUUUCGUUUUCAUCAUUCCUUUGACUUGAUGCCAUCGUCGAUCAAUUACAUCUUCUUGAUAACCUCUCGACGAAUCUGUCGUGAUCAUUGUCAACAAUUUGACUUCUUCCAAGUUGUGUGUCAAAAUUCAGGAUGAGAAAUACCAUCCUUGCCCCUCGAUGAAUUGUGUUAUCAUCGACAACAUUCUUGCCUCCCCCCAACACAAACUUGUUCAUAUUUUGUGUUGUAUCUUGAUUUCCCAGCUAUCCAACUUAUGUUAUGUUCUACCAUGGAGUAUUACCAUCUUUGAUGUCAAGAAUGUCGUGAGCAUUACUCCACCUCUUAAGAAUUCUUGGUACAGUGAUACUUCUCACCAUCACCAUUCUUUCUUGGUCCCCGUGUUGUCUCUAAACGAAAUACCGACAAAUGGUCUGUGAUGUGUAAAUUCUAAACUUCUAGCAACCUUAUUGCUUUGAAGUUAUUGGUCUAUAGUUUCAUUCUACGUCUAUGGCUUAAUGAAUCAUCAUUCGAACAUUGAUCGUGCUACCUAACCCAUAUUUCGGGUGCACAUUUCAACCAAUGUUUAACUGUGUAUGUUUUCCUCGAGCAUACAUCAUUAAGUCAUUCGAUCUAGCUAAUGUUAUCUCCUUGUUCACAUGACUGUGGAAACCCAUCUUUUUGGAUAUCUCGUUGAAAUAUCGCGGAGUCCAUCAGCCACCUCCUCAUCCUCUCCUUGGCUUAAUGAUGAACCCUUGUUCAGAACUCGCUUCCAUAGUUCAUUUCCCGAGAAUCUUACAAUGUCAUCUCGUCAAUUGGUGUUGCACAUUUUCUUCUCAGGCAUCCCGAAUCUGAGGUAUCCUGACACCAAUCAGAUCUGAAUCUCGGUCAGAUAUGAUGGUUGAAACAUUUUCCAAGAGUUAUAACAUUGGUCUUCUUGUGACCCAGUAAGGCGAUGUCAUGCCUAGCACACAUGUCCCGAGGACCUGUUGUUAUUGUUUCCUUUUUAGCAAGGUUAUCCAUUCUUCCAUGAGGAAAUUGUAAGACUUAUUCUCCCAGUUAUUCCUGAUGCAUCCAUUGAGUAUCCAAAGUCCGACCCUUGCUUGAAGACCAUGUCAAUGCUAUCCCGAAGCAUGUCUGUGGUACUCCGAUUUUCGACAAGAACAUUUGAAGCCCAAUGCUAAAUGUUUUCUUGCUCAAUUAUCCAAACACCGUUGUAUGGGUAAUGUCAUGAAAUUUCUCUCCCCUUACCUAAAGAGUUUUCUACAUUAUAUCCUGUCAUGGAUAUCAUGCUCUGCUUGUCCUUGGGAAGGAUAUACCCUUGAAAUAUGUGUUUAAACACAUUUUCCUUUCCAUUGUUCUGUUUAAUCUGGUAAUCAUAUUUUCCUUUCCAUUGGUUGGUUUAACGUUUCUGGUGAUCAUUAUGAUCUAAGCAGUAUUAAUCCCCUGCUUGUGCAAACACCUCGGUGUACAACUCUGUCAGUAAGACCCUGUUACUAUUGUUGGUGACAUUCCGGUAACCACCGAUGGACGAGAACUUUGCCUAUUGGUCCGCCUCGUUUCAACGAGCAGGAAAAUGGUUCUCUUCGUCCCUCGCCCUUGGUACCAACGUUGUUGCCAACAUAACUGACAGGCUACCCUCUGACAUGUCUUGCUAUCAUGACCGUGUAAGAUGCCAACGGCCUUCCUACUUUUAACCACAUGGCGGGCCCAUAACCCACAGUUCCACAGGAUCGAAACUUGACUCUCCUGUACCCCCAUGUUGCCAAAGUUAUUCCUCGCGCUUGAUUUCGUAUAUAAUUCAUGGGUCAUCUUCCUAGUAAUAUACUUUGGUAUCAGACGCAAUACUUAUUCUCGUUGAUCUGGACCCCUUUCACACUUUGUUCAGGCAUCGAACGAUUGCCGACCCGCUUAAACUUCUCAUAGUACCUUCUUACUUUGCUCUCGAAAUUUUCUUAAGUUUUAGUUCGAGAGUUACUUUCCGCCACCUUCCCCCGAUGUUAGCUACUAGGUAGUCAACCUUGCAGAGGUCCGUUCUUUCGGAAUAACCACCCUUUAUUCUUUCGUAAGUACGAUGGAGUUCCCGAAGAAAGGAUGACGACUUGAUCAUGGUGACUUGAAGCAGAGAAAUGAAGACAUCAACAUAAUGGAUCAACCUCUUCGAGAAGAGCAACCAAGACCGAGAAGAAUCGUUAGAAUUUCAUAACCUAUUCUUCCCCCUUACUCCCCUCUUAAAUCUCGGGACGAGAUUUCUUGUAGUGGAGGAGAAUUGUGAUGCCCGAAUAAUUAAGCUACAGUAACUUUCUACUAAUGAUGCCACGUCACCUCGAUUACUGUUGCUAAUCUCACGUUAGUUCGAAACUGAUGCAAAUUCAAAAUCAAAAUCAAGCAAACAAUAAAAGUUUUCAAAUAUUAAAACUAAAAUGUUCGGGGUGAGCCAAAUAAUCCAUACUAAAUAUUGGUGUAGAAACCACACUCCUCUAAAGUAUUUAAAUGCACCAUAGUAAUUAAAACAGCGGCAAAACUGUUAUUUAAUAAAUACUUUUAAAUAAUAAAUAAUUACAAAACUAUUUUAUUUAGGUGCCAAAGUUAAUGUGGCAGUAGUAUAUUUAUAAAUACAAAUUUAGGUGCUAGUGUUAAUUUUUAUAAAACUGAAAUAAAAAGGAACAAAAAUAAAACAGAAAAAAGGAAAAGACUAAACAAAGAAAUAAAGUCAAACAAGAGAAAAGAGAAAAGCCCCCACCCCCCACUGGGCCACGGCCCAGCUAACCGGCCAGCCCACUAACCUAGCCGGCCCAUCCCCACUCCCCAUAGCCCCCCACUCCACCCCGAAACCCUAACCGAACCAACCCACUGCCCCCUCACUCCCUCGUCUCUCCCUCCCCNNNNNNNNNNNNNNNNNNNNNNNNNNNNNNNNNNNNNNNNNNNNNNNNNNNNNNNNNNNNNNNNNNNNNNNNNNNNNNNNNNNNNNNNNNNNNNNNNNNNNNNNNNNNNNNNNNNNNNNNNNNNNNNNNNNNNNNNNNNNNNNNNNNNNNNNNNNNNNNNNNNNNNNNNNNNNNNNNNNNNNNNNNNNNNNNNNNNNNNNNNNNNNNNNNNNNNNNNNNNNNNNNNNNNNNNNNNNNNNNNNNNNNNNNNNNNNNNNNNNNNNNNNNNNNNNNNNNNNNNNNNNNNNNNNNNNNNNNNNNNNNNNNNNNNNNNNNNNNNNNNNNNNNNNNNNNNNNNNNNNNNNNNNNNNNNNNNNNNNNNNNNNNNNNNNNNNNNNNNNNNNNNNNNNNNNNNNNNNNNNNNNNNNNNNNNNNNNNNNNNNNNNNNNNNNNNNNNNNNNNNNNNNNNNNNNNNNNNNNNNNNNNNNNNNNNNNNNNNNNNNNNNNNNNNNNNNNNNNNNNNNNNNNNNNNNNNNNNNNNNNNNNNNNNNNNNNNNNNNNNNNNNNNNNNNNNNNNNNNNNNUGGGCCGGCACCCCGCUGGCGCCCCGUGCCGCGCCUCGCGUCGGCGAGCCCGCCCCGGCUCCCCUGCAGUUGCUCGCUACGGCCGUCGCCUUCGUCCCGCACUUGUCGCUCCGCCCCUGGCCUCGUCGCCGAGCGCCUCCCCUGCCACCACCACCUCCAGCCGCGUCCCCCUGCGCCCGCUCCGCCCAGCCAGUUCGCGACCACCCCUCCGCCUUCUCCCCUGGUCCUGGCCGCCGGCGAGCGCCGUGCGUGCCCAGCGCACCUCGGGCAUGCCCGUUAACCAGCGCGCCCGUUCCAGUGGCCCAUUGGCCACUGACAGCCGGGGCCCGGAACCCUGAGAACGUUUAUAAAAAAAGAAAUAAAAAAUAUAAAUAAAUAAAAAUAAUUAACUUAAUUAAUUUUGAUUAAUUAAACUAAACAACCAAUUAAGCUAAUUAAACAUUAGUUACCUAAUUAACCUAAUUAGCUAAUUAAGUAGUCAAUGACAGUGGGGCCCACCCCUAAUUAAUCCUGAUUAGGUUAAUUAAUAUGUUUACUUAAAAUGUGUCACUGACCAGUGGGACCCACUGGUCAGGUUGACCAGUCAACCCCUGUUGGCUGCUGACGUCGGCAUGACAUCAUGCUGAUGUCAUAAAUCCAGUUUCGAAUUAAAUUAAUUCUGUUAAUUCUAAAAAUGAUUUUAAACUUUGAAAAUUAAUAUAAAAUAAACCGUACCUCGGAUGAAAAUACUUUGUACAUGAAAGUUGCUCAGAACGACGAGACGAAUCCAGAUAUGCAGCCCGUUCGUCCGCCACACACCCCUAGAAUAUCGAACACGCAACUUUCCCCCUCCGGUUCAUCUGUCCGAAAACGCGAAACACAGGGAAUACUUUCCCGGAUGUUUCCCCCUUCACCGGUAUCACCUCAUACCACGUUAGAACACGUCUAGCUCUGCCUGUUGUCCUGUUAUGCACUUGCUUGCUAUGUAUUUACUGUUUCUCCCCCCUCUUCUCUUCGGUAGACCCCGUGACGAUGCUGAUGCCCCUGCGAUCGACUACGGUGUUGACGACCCCUCCUUGCCAGAACAACCAGGCAAGCCCCCACCCCUUGAUCACCAGAUAUCACCUAUUCUUCUCUAUACAGCUUGCAUUAGAGUAGUGUAGCAUGUUACUGCUUUCGGUUAAUCCUAUACUGAUGCAUAGCCUGUCAUUGUUGCUACAGUUGUUACCCUUACCUGCUAUCCUACUGCUUAGUAUAGGAUGCUAGUGUUCCAUCAGUGGCCCCCUACACUGUUGUCCGUCUGCCAUGCUACUACUGGGCCGUGAUCACUUCGGGAGGUGAUCACGGGUAUAUACUAUAUACUUUUUACACAUGACACAUGUGGUGACUAAAGUCGGGUCGGCUCGUUGAGUACCCACAAGUGAUUCUGAUGAGGGGGCUGAAAGGACAGGUGGCUCCAUCCCGAUAGAGGUGGGCCUGGGUUCCUGACGGCCCCCGACUGUUACUUUGUGGCGGAGCGACAGGGCAGGUUGAGACCACCUAGGAGAAAGGUGGGCCUGGCCCUGGUCGGCGUUCGCGGAUACUUAACAUGCUUAACGAGAUCUUGGUAUUUGAUCUGAGUCUGGCCAUUAGGUCUAUACGCACUAACCAACUACGCGGGAACAGUUAUGGGCACUCGACGUCGUGGUAUCAGCCGAAGCUCUUUUUGACGUCAGCGACGGAGCGGCGCGCUCCGGAUUGGACUGGAACGCCUGCUAGGCUAGGUCUGCUUCCGGCCGCCCUCGCAACGUGCAGGUGUGCAAUGGGCGAUGGGCCCAGACCCCUGCGCGCAUAGGAUUUAGACCGGCGUGCUGACCUCUCUGUUGAGCCUAGGUGGGGCUGCGACGUGUUGAUCUUCCGAGGCCGGGCAUGACCCAGGAAAGUGUGUCCGGCCAAAUGGGAUCAAGCGUGUUGGGUUAUGUGGUGCACCCCUGCAGGGAAGUUUAUCUAUUCGAAUAGCCGUGUCCCUCGGUAAAAGGACGACCCGGAGUUGUACCUUGACCUUAUGACAACUAGAACUGGAUACUUAAUAAAACACACCCUUCCAAGUGCCAGAUAUAACCCGGUGAUCGCUCUCUAACAGGGCGACGAGGAGGGGAUCGCCGGGUAGGAUUAUGCUAUGCGAUGCUACUUGGUGAACCUACCAUCUACUCUCUUCUACAUGCUGCAAGAUGGAGGUGGCCAGAAGUGUAGUCUUCGACAGGAUUAGCUAUCCCCCUCUUAUUCUGGCAUUCUGCAGUUCAGUCCACCGAUAUGGCCCUUUACACAUAUACCCAUGCAUAUGUAGUGUAGCUCCUUGCUUGCGAGUAUUUUGGAUGAGUACUCACGGUUGCUUUUCUCCCUCUUUUCCCCUUUCUAUACCUGGUUGUCGCAACCAGAUGCUAGAGUCCAGGAGCUAGAGAUCCCGAGGAUGAUUCUACGUGGAGUUCAGCUUCGAGGAGUAGUUAGGAGGUCCCAGGCAGGAGGCCUUGCCUUUUCGAUCGUUGCUACUUUUGUGCUAGCCUUCUUGAGGCAAACUUGUUUAACUUAUGUCUGUACUUAGAUAUUGUUGCUUCCGCUGACUCGUCUAUGAUCGAGCACUUGUAUUAGAGCCCUCGAGGCUCCUGGCUUGUAUUAUGAUGCUUGUAUGACUUAUUUAUGUUUUAGAGUUGUGUUGUGAUAUCUUCCUGUGAGUCCUUGAUCUCGACCGUACACGUUUGCGUGCAUGAUUAGUGUACGAUUGAAUUGGGGGCGUCACAAGGGAGCAGCACUGCCGGCAGCAGGGAUGGCCGGAAUCGAGUUUUGAUCCGUGGCGGCGGUGCCAGGGAUGGCCGGCGCGGGAGUCAACCGUUUCUCAUUUUACAGGUUCGUGCAAAAACUGCCCCCGAUUCUUUUUUUUGAAUGUCGGCAGUAGAACUGCCAAAUUCAUUGGUCAGAAGAAGGUAUUACAAGAGCUCCUCCAAGUGAGGAAAGCACGGCAAAAAGGCUAGUGUAAAAAGAAAAGAAAGAAAAAAGGAUCCUGCCGGCACCACCACAAACCCAAGCUCCUCUUGCAACCAUGCACACCAUCGAAAUCCAUUGUCGAGGACUCCAAGAUAACGCCUCCAAGGAGGAAGUGAUAUCGAGGACAUCAACGUCACCCGAUCUGACGGUGCCAGAUCUUAGGUUUUCACCCGGAGACCUCAGCCAUGGGGUAGGAAGAGCAAACGAGCUCCACAACGAUACCUCCAAGGAAGAAGAUGUCGUUACCGUCGGCAUCGACAAAGUCAAUGCAAGAUUUUCAUCCGGAGAUCAGUCUUCUACCAACCAUCUAGGAACCGAGACCAACCGCGCGCCACCGGGCGGAGCAAGACCAAGCACACACUGCCAAACACGAAGAUUGUCACCGCCGCACGCAGAAACCCAUCGAGCUCAUGAUACGUCCAUUUUGCAUCAUUGUCGUGGAAUUGUCACGGCAGAUGUCCUCGGGUUAGGACUUAGUCGUGGAGCCAUCGCAAUUGGGAAGCUUGAAGGGGUUAAGUGGGACAAGGAACACGAGGGUUUAUACUGGUUCGGCCCCUUACGGUGAAGGUAAAAGCCUACGUCCAGUUGAGGUGGUAUUAAUCAGGGUUUCGAUAACCAGGGAGCUAAACAGCUAUGCCCGGCUCUCGAUCAGAUUGUUGUCGCCCCUAAACCGCUGCCGGGUCGUCCCUUUAUAUAGGGAGGUUGACACCCAGCGGCCCUUAGAGUCCCGGCCGGCUCAUAAGAGUGUCCGGCUCGGACUCUAAACAAUACUUGCCUUACACUACAAGUCUACUAUAACAAUAAAGAUUGUACUACGGGCUUUAAGCCAUCGCCGGGUCUCAGCCCAUCUCUGGCCCAUUAUCUUGAAACUUAGCUCCGGGCUUCUGGCAAUGACCCUUAGUGUAACCCGGCCCUCCUGGCGGGUGACUCCCAGGUCUAUAUCCUCAACAUUAGGCCCCAGAUUGACUUGAGCCGGCUCGUGUCAAUCUUCAACUCUGCCGACAGAAAAAUCUCCGGCUUACCGUUCGUGUGAAGGCCAUAACCCGGAGUGACGUCAUUCUCCGGACUCCGGAUAAUCCGCCGUGACGUCAUCCUCCAUUAAGUCCGGUUUUUUACUCCGCCAGAUCCGCAACGGAUCUCUGCUUUUACUGUUUUUGCGAAAAUUGAGGCGCCGUGAGGGGGAGAUAACCACGCCGUGGUCUCCUUGAAUCUCGCGCCCACUUAUGACUUACCUUAUAAAUAGGCCGGCCCGGCACUCUCUUCUCACACUCUCCUUCUUCUUCCUCGCGCUGUCGUUCCUCUGCCCGAGCUUCUGCCGCCGCCGCCGCCGUCGCGCCCCUGAUCUUCAUCGACCCGGCCGCUGCAUCACCCUGACCCGGACCAGAUAACGGCGGCGACCUUCGCUCUUCCUCAACUCCGGUGAGUCUUCUCUUCCUUGCUAGAACAGAUCUGUGGUAGGGUUCCUCCCGUUCUUCGUGUUCGUCACCUUUGCCCAGAAACUCGGCAGUCCUCGUCACCACUGUAGUCGGUUGAUCUUUAUCCUUGCGUAAAACCACUGCGGUAGACGUUCGGAACUCAUUUCAUCUGCAAGAAAUCCUCUUUUUACUGCAUAAGAACUGUGUUCAACCUCAAGAACUUCUCCUGCCUCUGUUUUUUAGGUCUAGAAAAUUUUCUCUGCUCCAACUAUUUUGAUCCAAAAAAAGUCACGGUAGUAUGUGAAACCUGUUUACCACACUUAGUAAAAACGCAACCAUUGAAUCUCGGUGGCUUACAUGUCCGGUUUAAAGAGAACCAUGCUCUGUAAAAUCUUCCGACUUAACUGCAGUAAGCCGUAGAUGACCAACUUAACCUGAAAGCCCCGACAGCUUAGAUAACCCACCAUAUCAAUAUGUAUCAUUAGUCCCCUUCAUAAGCCGUCACUGUAGUUUGAAUGAUAAUCCCCGGCUUAUAAUUAACCCGGACACUUUUCUCUUCCUCAUAGACCACCAACCGUCACCAUGCCUCCCAAGGCUCCCAUCACUUGCAACUGGAUGAAAUCCAACGUCACCGAAGAGACCCUGGCCAACUUUGUUAAGUCCGGAUAUCUGCCCAAGAAGGAAGUGAUGUCCUACCGUGCCCCUGACCCGUCCGAAGAAAGACCUCAGCCGAGGGACGGGGAGGUAGUGAUCUUUGCAGACCAUAUGAGCCGGGGCUUCGCACCGCCCGGCUCAAAAUUCUUCCGGGACGUGCUCAACUUCUUUGACCUUCGGCCUCAGGAUAUAGGACCCAAUUCCAUAUCCAACAUCUGCAACUUCCAAGUUUUUUGUGAAGUAUAUCUUGGAGAAGAGCCGAGUCUGCUGCUCUUCAGAGAGCUGUUUUAUUUGAACCGCCAAACCGAGUGCGCAAACGGUCCAAGUCUAGAGUUAGGCGGCAUCUCCAUCCAACGGCGCAGGGACUGUCUAUUUCCUUACGCAGAACUGCCAAGUCACCCCAAGGACUGGAACAUGACUUGGUUCUACUGCCAAGACACGUCCCCGGCUGAUGAGAGCCCGCUGCCCGGCUUUCGCCCAACGCGCCUGGAGCCGACUCAUCCGCUAUCCGACAAGCUGACUGCCGCGGAACGCCAGCCUCUGCUUCCAACGAUCAAUAAGAUCAAGGCCCUGCUAGGCAACGGUCUGAACGGAAUAGACCUGGUCCGGGUCUGGAUCUCAUGGCGGGUGAUCCCAUUGAGCCGCCGCCCCGGCUUAAUGUGUGAGUACACCGGGCGAAAGGAUGACCCGCAGAGGCACAGUCGCAACGACCUUCCAGAAGACGUUGCCGAAGAAGAGACCAAGGCUCUAUUAAACGAGAGCCUGGCAGACUGUGGAAAAACCGGGCUAGCCCCAUUCUGCAAGACCAAUCCAGCCCCAGCGGUAAGCCGCUGACUUUAACCUUUCCAUUUUUUUACCUGUCAUCUUACUAAGAACUCAUUACUGUAUUUCUCAGGCUGAUGAUAAAUUCUGGCGGGUCAAGUAUGACCAUGAGGCGGCCAAGAAGGCCAGGAAGGCGAAGAAAGCCGCCCCUCGCAAAAAGGGAAACAGACCCACUGCUUCGGAGCUGCUGCAAUUAAGCGAUAGCUCCGAGUCAGAGGUAACCCUUAAACCUUUAAACUCUUGCCAUAUUUAUUGUUUGCUGCUGUCCACUUUACCAUCAUUUUGCUUAUUGACAGGAUGACACCGGCGCCAGUAACCCGGUGAUUGAAGAGGUAACAUUACUCCCCUCCGACUCGGAGCCUUUGCCACAGCUGAAAGUCCGAAGGGUAACCCGGAAAGUAAGCUUUUCUCAUCCAUUAGCUCAUCAAGACCCUCAAUUUCUUUUGAAGCAGCAGGUUCACGAAAGCCGGCGUCUCACCCGGGCCCGCAAGGACACCGACCUCUCCGCCGGGUUACCCGACGCGACAAGGAAACGUCGCACCGAGGUCUUUUCUCACUUGUACCCUUUUCAUCCGUUGGCGGGUGUUAUCCGUCAACUGCUUAAUUCUUCUGACUCCAAUUACCAGGAGACCUCCCCUUCUUCUGGUGACUCCAUGCAGUCAAGUCUGCCGGCCUUCAAAACUGCACCCGGGUAAUAACAAUCACCUUACAUUACCUGUCUGUAUUUACUCUUUGUAUGCCUAACACUUCUGUCUUUUCAGUGCCCAGACAAAGCUCACCAAAAGAGCAAAGAAGACCAGAUCAGCCGGAGUGCCGGACUUGCCUGAGCCGGAGACGACGGCUCAAGAUCCGCCAGCCGCCUCCGAGGCCACCAUUCCCAUGGAUACGGCGCCUGAAGCCCCUGCCCCGACCACCAAGACAACGACCGAAGCGUCAGCUAAUCCGGAGGCCUCCGGCUCAACCCCACCGGCUAACGACCCGGACGUGGUAAUUACCCGGACGGAGUAUGUUGAGCCGGGGAGGCCGACCGCACUGGCCGAAUGCUCCGCGAAGGGGGAGCUGCUGCGACCCCACCGGGCGAAUCUGGAUCUCUCGGGCUACCCCGAUUUGAGCAUUGGAGAGCUCGUUUCUGGCUACAUCAGCCAGGUUCACAAGAGCCGGGACGCGGAGAUCGCCAUGGUCAAUCAGAUCCAACAAAAGUCUGAGGUAACCUUCUACUGUCUUCUUACUUUCCGCAUAGUGAUCCUUGUCAUGCUAGCCCCCAAGUCUAUAACUUAUACUUGGCAUAUGUUGUAGACUUAGAGUCCGGCUUACUUAAUUGAACCAGCAGUACGUAGAUAGACACGUUCAAUAUGCAUUAGCCCCCAAGUGCCAAGUGUCUUUGCUUGGAAAGUGCUUGGGACUUAUAUAAUGACUGUUUAAUAACCCGGAAAUAUAUACAGGCUACUGGCAAGAAAUUUGAGUCGGACCUUGCGGAUCUCAAGAGCCGGUUAAAAACUCAAGAGAUGGAGACCCGGAAGGCGAAUGCCAAGUUUGUCUCCAGCAUCGCCGCUCAGGAGAAAUUGAAGACUGAAUUCGACGCUGAGCGGAAGGCCUGGGCUGAGGAGAAAGCCGCACUGGUGACCCGGGCAGAACAGGCGGAGAAGGCCCUCACUGAGAAGACCGCUGAGCUCUCCGGUUUAAAGCACCAGGUUUCCCAAAUGGUGGCUGCUAUCUUCGGUAAGUCGCCUCACCGGCUUUCAUCAAGUCUGCACAUGUUACGAUUCACCCUUGUCACCGGCUUACCUGACCUUUAUUAAACAGGUCCCAGGAGUGCCAACCUCAACCAGAGCAUGGUCACCAAGCUAAAGGCCGUGUACACCCUGGUGGAACAACUCUACACCGGGUCACAGCGCGCCUUAGCUGUGGUGGCCCUAUCCAAUGAGGUGCCAACCCAUCUGGCUGAAGUCCUGCGCCGGCUCGCAGUUUUGCCACAGCGAAUCCAAGAGCUACGUCGAGCCUCCGCAAGAUCCGGAGCAAUUGCCGCGCUGAGCCGGGCCAAAGCCUUCCUGCCGGAGCUAGACCCGGCAGACAUCGCCCUGGGUUACCCCAGCCUGAAGGAAGACGGCUCCACCUUCGACCAGAAGGAUUUCGCGGCAUGCGUGAAGGCUGUACGCCCGGUGGCCACCAUCAUCGGGAACGACACCGACUUAACCAAGUAUCAGCCGGGGUACAACGCGGAGAAUCAGAGGAUUCCAACCCCUCGCUAUGAAGCUCUUAGUCUGAUUCCUCCGGCUCGCCAACACACCUACGCCCCCCGAGAUUGACCCGGCCGGGUUAAUUGACGAAGAAGCUCAGUUCGAAGCUCUCAGCAGCAUCAACUGGAAAUCGUCGACCUUCGAAGCCUUGGGAUCAGCCAGAGCAGAAGAUGAGCCGGGGACUUCGACUCAGCAGGCGUCAUAAACCGGCUAGCGGCUCACCAAACAACGCUCCACCCUUGAAACUUUGAAAGAUUUUUGUAAUAGAAUAAGUGCAACAAUUUAUCUCUGCCGUGCCAUCAUGCACGUAAUGAAUGCUAAAAUCCUUUGAAGUCAUUCUUUUGAUGCUCCUCCGGGUCAUAAUUAUCCUUCGUGCUUCUCAACCUUUAAAAAAGUACCUUCAAGCAUCUGCAUAGAAAGGUAAAUCACAAGUCUCAAGACGGCUUACCACCCUCCGGAUUAAAUGACCCGGGUAGCAUGGUUGGUAUCUUAACUCUAAUGGACUUGUCUUGAUGACAUCCAGGAUGUUUAAUUAACAAGAUAACUCCAAAAUUAAGCCGGUCAAGCGAAACCCGGCCAUGCACACGUUGUCAUAAUCAGAGUAGACUUUGCGAUAAAUCGGAACUUAGGGGCUUCCAGUUCGAAUACGACCAGAGACCCGGCCCGAAAGGGGUUUAAGCCAAGAUUCGUAUACGAUCAUAUAGCCCCCAAUGGGUGUGGCGAUGCCAAUCAAGAGGGUACCGACAGCUAUGUUCUCUUGGGUUCGAAUACGACCCAUGUUUGAACAGGAAGCCCCCAAGUGAUUCUGAAAAUUGUUUAACGACGCUGAUUCGAAUAUGAUCCACGUCGGUUCUCAGAGGGGUUACACUAUGAUUCAAAUAUGACCAAAGGCAACCUCCCAAUGAGCUCGGCACUUUGCCAAUCAAAUGGGUAUCGACAGCUAUGUUCUCUUUGGUUCGAAUACGACCCAUGUUUGAACAGGAAGCCCCCAAGUGAUCUUACUGCUUACGGCUAGACUCAAAUGCGAUCAUAAGCCGGAUCCUCUUUUCAAAGUAGUAUGACACGUAUAUUUGGAGGAGAAAAAAGGACAGAGGUCCUGCUUUAUUGCUUAUCAUAAUAUAUAUAUGUCUGAGAUAAAUAUGUACACCACAAGAGCCGGUAGCUCAAGUGUAAUAAGGCCGAAGCUGAGCGAUAUUCCACGACCGACGGGUCUCCUCCUCAGAUUUACGCGAAUCUUUACGCUCCCGAACAUCAAUGAGGUAAUAUGACCCGUUGUGCAAGUUCUUACUGACCACAAAGGGCCCUUCCCAAGGUGGGGAUAAUUUGUGUGCAUCUGUUUGAUCCUGGAUGAGCCGGAGCACAAGGUCGCCUUCCUGGCAGACCCGGGUUUUGACCCGGCGGCUAUGAUAACGGCGCAGGUCUUGUUGGUAAAUCGCUGAACGGGCUGCUGCCACAUCACGCUGUUCAUCCAACAAGUCCAGAGCAACUUGGCGCGCCUGUUCAUUGUCCGUCUCAACAUAAGCCGCCACACGAGGUGAAUCGUGACGGAUGUCGCUAGGGAGGACCGCUUCUGCCCCAUAAACCAUGAAGAAAGGCGUGAAGCCAGUAGACCUGUUAGGAGUAGUGUUGAUGCUCCAUAAGACGGAGGGCAACUCCUCCACCCAACAACCCGGCGUCCGUUGCAAAGGGACCAAAAGCCGGGGUUUGAUGCCCUUCAGAAUCUCCUGGUUAGCUCUCUCAGCUUGACCAUUGGACUGGGGAUGAGCCACUGAAGAAACAUCAAGCCGGAUAUGCUCUCGUUGACAAAACUCCUCCAUAGCGCCUUUGGACAGAUUAGUGCCAUUGUCUGUUAUGAUGCUAUGCGGAAAGCCGAGGCGGAAGAUCACCUUUUUUAUAAAUUGAACCGCCGUGGCUGCAUCACACUUGCUAACUGGCUCAGCUUCCACCCACUUCGUGAAUUUGUCCACUGCCACCAAGAGGUGGGUCUUCUUAUCCUUGGACCGUUUAAAAGGCCCGACCAUAUCAAGCCCCCAGACCGCAAAGGGCCAAGUGAUCGGGAUCAUCCUCAAUUCCUGAGCCGGCACAUGAGCCCGUCGGGAGAACCUCUGACAACCAUCACACUUACUGACCAAGUCCUCCGCAUCAGCGUGAGCCGUCAACCAAUAAAAACCAUGACGGAAUGCCUUGGCCACAAGGGAUUUUGAGCCGGCAUGAUGGCCGCAACCCCCUUCAUGGAUCUCGCGCAAGAUCUCUUGACCUUCCUCAGGGGAAAUACAACGCUGAAAUACCCCUGAAACACUGCGAUGAUGCAACUCGCCGUUGAUAACAAUCAUUGACUUGGCCCGCCGGAUUAUUUGCCUGGCCAAAGUUUCAUCCUCAUGCAACUCUCCCUGGGUUAUAUAAACCAAGUACUGCAUUGUCCAGUCUGGUAUGACAUGAAGAGCCGCCACCAGUCGUGCCUCCGGGUCAGGGAUAGCCAAGUCCUCCUCUGUAGGCAACUUAACCGAAGGGUUAUAUAGGACAUCCAGGAAAGUGUUAGGCGGCACCGGCUUUCGCUGAGAGCCGAGCCGGCUUAAAGCAUCAGCCGCCUCGUUCUUCCUGCGAUCAAUGUGCUCCACUUGAUAUCCCUGAAAGUGCCCAGCAAUGGCAUCAACCUCGCGGCGAUAAGCCGCCAUGAGGGGAUCCUUAGAAUCCCAAGUGCCUGAUACUUGUUGAACAACCAAAUCUGAGUCCCCAAAGCACCGUACCCGUCUUAAGCUCAUCUCCUUAGCCACCCGAAGACCGUGGAGUAAGGCCUCGUAUUCAGCCGCAUUGUUAGUGCAAGGAAACAUCAAUUGUAGCACAUACUGGAACUUGUCACCCCUAGGGGAAGCCAAUACAACACCAGCCCCCGAGCCCUCCAGCUGCCUGGACCCAUCAAAGUGAAUAGUCCAAUAGGUGUUAUCCGGCUUUUGCUCAGGCACUUGCGACUCUGUCCAAUCAUUAAUAAAAUCCACCAAAGCCUGGGAUUUAACAGCAGUGCGUGGCACAUAUUUGAGGCCAUGAGGCCCAAGUUCAAUAGCCCACUUGGCAAUUCUCCCUGUAGCCUCUCUGUUCUGGAUAAUAUCCCCAAGAGGGGCAGAACUGACCACAGUGAUGGGAUGACCCUGAAAAUAAUGCUUGAGUUUCCGGCUCGCCAUGAACACACCAUAUACAAGCUUCUGCCAGUGCGGGUAUCGCUGCUUGGACUCAAUAAGCACCUCACUGACAUAAUAAACCGGCCGCUGAACUGGAUGCUCCUUACCCGUCUCCUUACGCUCCACCACCAUAGCCACACUGACGGCUCGUGUGUUUGCCGCCACAUACAGUAGCAAGGGCUCCUUAUCAACCGGAGCAGCAAGGACGGGGGGCUCUGCCAGUUGCUUUUUCAAAUCCUCGAAGGCGGUAUUAGCUGCAUCAUUCCAGACAAAGUUAUCCGUUUUCUUCAGCAACUGAUAUAAGGGCAUAGCCUUCUCACCCAAGCGGCUUAUGAACCGGCUUAAAGCAGCGAUGCGACCUGCCAAACGCUGAACAUCAUUUAUACAUGCCGGCUUAGCUAGAGAAGUGAUAGCUUUGAUCUUCUCCGGGUUAGCUUCAAUUCCUCUGUCAGAAACCAAGAAGCCCAAUAGCUUGCCCGCAGGAACACCAAAAACACAUUUGGCCGGGUUAAGCAUCAUGUAGACCCGGAGAUUAUCGAAGGUUUCCCUUAAGUCAUCUAUCAGGGUUUCCUCCUUGAUGGACUUAACCACAAUAUCGUCCACGUAAGCGUGAACAUUGCGCCCGAUCUGUUUAUGGAGACAAUUCUGUACACAACGCUGGUAAGUCGCCUGCGCACACUUGAGCCCAAAGGGCAUAGAGACAUAGCAGAAGGCUCAAAGGGAGUGAUGAACGCCGUCUUCUCCUGGUCCUUAACUGCCAUCUUAAUCUGAUGAUACCCGGAAUAGGCAUCCAAGAAACUUAAGCGUGCACAACCUGCCGUAGCAUCAAUGAUCUGAUCAAUACGGGGGAGAGCAUAAGGAUCAGCCGGACACGCCUUGUUCAAGUCCGUGUAGUCCACACACAUCCGCCAGGUGCCGUUCUUCUUAAGUACAAGCACCGGGUUAGCCAACCACUCUAGGUGAAAAACCUCAACAAUGAACCCGGCCGCCAAAAGCCGGGCCACUUCUUCACCAAUAGCCUUCCGCCUCUCUUCGUUAAACCAUCGAAGGAACUGUCUGGCCGGCUUAAAUUUUGGAUCAACAUUGAGAGUGUGCUCAGCGAGUUCUCUAGGUACACCUGGCAUGUCAGAAGGUUUCCAUGCGAAGAUGUCCCUAUUCUCACGGAUGAACUCGAUGAGCGCGCCUUCCUAUUUCGGGUCCAGAUUUGCACUGAUGCUGAACUGCUGAGACGAGUCACCUGGAACAAAAUCAACAAGUUUAGUCUCAUCAGCUGAUUUAAACUUCAUUGCUGGUUCAUUCUCCGUGGUUGGCUUUUUCAGAGAGGUCAUAUCUGUUGGGUCAACAUUGUCUUUAUAAAAUUUCAAAUCUUCUGUGGCACAAACAGACUCUGCAUAAGCCGCGUCACCUUCCUCACACUCCAGAGCCACUUUCCGGCUGCCGCGAACCGUAAUGGUCCCAUUGUGACCCGGCAUCUUGAGUUGUAAGUACACAUAACACGGCCGUGCCAUGAACUUGGCGUAAGCCGGCCGUCCAAAUAUGGCGUGGUAAGGACUUCUUAUCUUGACCACCUCAAAGGUCAACUUCUCCACCCUGUAGUUGUUCUCAUCACCGAAGGCCACUUCCAGUUCGAUCUUGCCGACUGGAUAAGCCGAUUUACCGGGUACCACACCAUGGAAGAUAGUAUUUGACUGGCUGAGGUUCUUAUCAACUAGCCCCAUACGACGGAAAGUCUCAUAAUAGAGGAUGUUGAUGCUGCUGCCUCCAUCCAUGAGUACCUUUGUGAACUUAUAGCCUCCCACUUGAGGAGCCACCACUAAGGCCAGGUGGCCCGGGUUAUCCACCCGGGGAGGGUGAUCCUCCCUACUCCACACUAUGGGCUGCUCCGACCACCGUAAGUAGCGUGGAACCACCAGCUCAACAGCAUUAACAGCCCUCUUGUGAAGCUUCUCGUCUCGUUUGCACAAACUAGUGGUGAACACGUGAUACUGUCCACCGCUAAGCUGCUUUGGGUUGGUCUGAUAGCCCCCCUGUUGCUGUUGAUGACCCUGACCAGACUGUUGAUUAAAGCCCCCUUGACCGUUCUGAGGACCGGAAUUUGACCCGCCGCCCGGGCCAUGAAAGCCGCCGGCGCCUGAGCCGCCACCCGGACCAUUGUAGUUUUUAAAGGCCUUCAUGAUAGCACAAUCCUUCCACAGAUGAGUCGCCGGCUUGUCUCUAGAACCGUGUCUCGGACAAGGUUCAUUCAACAGCUGUUCCAGAGAAGGUCCUGACCCGCCGCCUCGGGGAGGGGUCCUCCCCUUGCGUCGCUGGUUAUUACCUUGAGAGUUGGUGUUGGCUACAAACUCUAGGCUGCCAUCGGCCUUGCGCUUGCCUCCUCCUUGGUUCCCCAGGCUAAACUGAGGACCCUUGCCGUUGCCGUUCUUCUUUCCCUUCCCUGCCCUUUCAUCAUCUGAAGGGGGAUCCUUGGUACCAUCGGAAUCGGCGUACUUGACAAGAGCUGCCAUCAGUGUACCCAUAUCAGUACAGUCACGCUUAAGCCGCCCGAGUUUCAUCUUUAGGGGCACAAAGCGACAGUUUUGUUCCAACAUUAAGACUGCAGAGCCGGCAUCCAUCUUAUCCGAUGAAUGUAUGAUCUCCUUGACCCGGCGAACCCAAUGGGUCGUGGAUUCACCCUCCUGCUGCUUACAGUUAGUCAGAUCCACGAUUGACAUAGAUUGCCUGCAGGUAUCUUUGAAGUUUUGAAUGAACCGGGCUUUCAUCUCAGCCCAAGACCCGAUGGAGUUCGGCGGUAACCCUUUCAACCACGUGCGGGCAGUUCCAUCUAACAUCAUGGUGAAAUAUUUGGCCAUGGCCGCCUCGCUGACUUCCAGCAAUUCCAUAGCCAUCUCAUAACUCUCGAUCCAGGCUGUCGGCUGUAAGUCUGCUGUAUAGUUAGGCACCUUCCUAGGUCCUUUGAAGUCCUUGGGUAGACGUUCAUUACGGAUAGCUGGCAUCAAACACGGGACACCCCCGGUUCUAGUAGGGAUACUCGCAUCAACGGACAUCGUCGGAUAAGCCGGGGGGGGGUCUGGUAAGCCGUCACUUGAGGCGCCUGCUCCGCCUCCUGGCGUGCUUGGUCUGCUACGUAGAAGGCUCCAUUAUGAGCCGGGCCAUGACCAGGGGGCGGGUCAUGGCGUCGGACAUUACUUGAGCCGGUCGCCGAGACCAUGUGCCGGCUGUAACUCGGGCUCUGCCCUGGACGAGGGGUUGAAUGGAUCCUAUCCCGGCUGUAGGAGUACGCCUCUUGCUGCGCCAGCGCUGUCUGGAGGAGUUCUCUGACCCGGCGGGUCUCAAUAGCCGUCGGAGAGUCGCCAUCAACGGGCAGAGCCGCCAGCCGUGCCGCUGCGGCGACCAUGUUCUCCAGCGGGUUAUUAUAAUGGCCCGGGGGUAUUGGCACAUACUGAGGCGGGGCGGGGGGCCCCUGGGGAGGCCCCAUCACUCGUGGUUGAAUAAGGGGUCCAGAUCCGGGUGCUACGACCCCCGGCGGGUGACUAGACCCUGCACCCGGUGUGUUGAAGAGGUUGCGCGGAUCGUAAACCGGCGGGAGUCGAGAUUGAGCCUUUUGAUGCCUCCUUCUCAUGACCUCAUUGGCCGCGUUCUGAUCCAUCGUGAGUUGGAAGGACUGCGCCUGAAUCAGCUGAGUCCGGGCAUCGAGAGCCGCCCGCUCCGCAGCCAGUCUGAUCCCUUCCGCUGCAAGGUCCUCUUUAGCUUUUAUCAGAUCCAAUUUUAGCUGUGCCACCGCCGCAUCAUGCUGAACUUGAUCCGCCGGGUCGACCGUUGCGGUUAACAUGGCCGUCAUCUUAUCCGUGAGAUCCAUCAACACCUGAGCCGGGGAAGGCACCGGGUUUUCCGAUCCGGAAGCGGGGUUCUGAACAGGCUGCGUACCAGCCAUAAAAACUCCAACCUGACUUGGCGGCUCAAAAAGGUCCGGAAUACUGCUGUCAUCGGAAUAACUCAUGAGCCUGCCAUCUUGAAGUUGGUACAACGAGUUUGACUCAUCAGCGGCCGACUCGCCGUCAGAGCCGGCGGCCGCCUCAUCCCCAGACCCAGAUGGAUCAGAGGGCCCUCCGUGGAUGCAUCCCACAAAAGCGCGCUUUAAGGCAGGCCGGGCCCGGGCGGGUCGUGCGCGCUGAGCCGUUUCGAUGAGACCGGCGCGGAGAUCCGGCUCGGGGCCCGGCUCUCCAAUUUUACCGAUGAAGACAUGAAUUCCACCGAAGGGGACCCGGUACCCGUACUCCACCGAGCCGGCGUCGGGGCCCCAGUCCGCGUCGUCGAUGUAGAGCUUGCCGCGACGACUCUUGGUCAUCCGGCCCACAGCGUAUCCCUUGAGCCCUUCGAAGCUGCCCUUCAAGAACUCAAAUCCACCGUGCGCCAGCCCCACGGUGGGCGCCAACUGUCGUGGAAUUGUCACGGCAGAUGUCCUCGGGUUAGGACUUAGUCGUGGAGCCAUCGCAAUUGGGAAGCUUGAAGGGGUUAAGUGGGACAAGGAACACAAGGGUUUAUACUGGUUCGGCCCCUUACGGUGAAGGUAAAAGCCCUACGUCCAGUUGAGGUGGUAUUAAUCAGGGUUUCGAUAACCAGGGAGCUAAACAGCUAUGCCCGGCUCUCGAUCAGAUUGUUGUCGCCCCUAAACCGCUGCCGGGUCGUCCCUUUAUAUAGGGAGGUUGACACCCAGCGGCCCUUAGAGUCCCGGCCGGCUCAUAAGAGUGUCCGGCUCGGACUCUAAACAAUACUUGCCUUACACUACAAGUCUACUAUAACAAUAAAGAUUGUACUACGGGCUUUAAGCCAUCGCCGGGUCUCAGCCCAUCUCUGGCCCAUUAUCUUGAAACUUAGCUCCGGGCUUCUGGCAAUGACCCUUAGUGUAACCCGGCCCUCCUGGCGGGUGACUCCCAGGUCUAUAUCCUCAACAAUCAUGUUUUCCUACUGUUAUUUAUAAUGUUUUUAUGCAUAAUAACAAUUUAUGGAGUAAUUCUAAUGCCUUUUAUCUCAUGAUAUGCAAGGUUUACACAAAGAGGGAGAAUGCCGGCAGCUGGAAUUCUAGACCUGAAAAAGCUAUGUCAGAGAUACCUAUUCUGCACAUCUCCAAAUGAGCUAAAAUUUUACGGAGAAUUAUUUUGAAAUAUAUAAUAAAUAUCGAAGAAAAGAAAUACCAGAGCGGGGCUGCCAGGUUCCCACAAGACACCAGGGGGCGCCACGCCCCCAAGGCGCGCCCUGGUGGGUGGUAGGCAGCCCAGCCCACCUCCGGUGCCCAUCUUCUGGUUACGUAAGGUCUUUUGACCUAUAAAAAAAUAACAGGAGGACUUUCGGGGCGGAGCGCCGCUGUCUCGAGGUAGAACUUGGGCAGGAGCACUUUUGCCCUCCAGCGGAGCGAUUCCGCCGUGGGAACUUCCUCCCGGAGGGGGAAAUCGAAGCUAUCGUCAUCACCAACAACCCUCUCAUCUUUGGAAGGCCAAUAUUCAUUGCCAUCUUCAACAGCACCAUCUCAUCUCAAACCCUAGUUCUUCUCUUGUGUUCAACCUUUGUACCGGAACCUCAGAUUGGUACCUAUGGGUGACUAGUAGUGUAACGCCCCGGAUCCGAUGCGCCAGGUGUCUUCCAGUUAUUCGUCGUUGUUGCCAUGUCAUUUGCUUGCGUGUUGCAUUUUGCCCUGUCAUCAUCUGCAUUUCAUCUGCAUGUUUCUCGAAACUUGCAUCCGGUCCUUUUCCGCGUUGUCCAUUUCGCGAUCCGACACUCCCACACGUGCCCGUCGCCCCUCUCAGACCUUGUUUCAUGAGCGGGAGAAAAACGUUCUCGGAAUGGGCCGAGAUUUGCCGAGUGGCCUUGGUAUAUCACCGGUAGACCGUCCGUCAAAUUUCGUUCCAUUUGGAGGUCGUUUGAUGCCCCAACGGUUAACCGCGUACCCCGCAAAGCCCCUUUUGUCUUGCAGCCCAACACCCCUCCAAAUCAGCCCACUAACCCAGCAAACCCCCUCCAUGCUCUCCGCCGUUCGAUCACGAUCGUGUGGGCGAAAAUCGCACCCCAUUCGGACUCUCCUAGCUCCCUCUACCUAUAUAAACACUCCCUUCCCCGAAAUUUCGGAUCAAAUCCUACCCUAACCCUAGCUUUACGCGUCGCCCCGUCCAAUCGGGUGGCGACACGUCAGCCCGCCGCCGCCCGAAGGCAGUGGCAUCGCGCCCUCCCGCCGCCGCCGGCCUGCGGGGNNNNNNNNNNNNNNNNNNNNNNNNNNNNNNNNNNNNNNNNNNNNNNNNNNNNNNNNNNNNNNNNNNNNNNNNNNNNNNNNNNNNNNNNNNNNNNNNNNNNNNNNNNNNNNNNNNNNNNNNNNNNNNNNNNNNNNNNNNNNNNNNNNNNNNNNNNNNNNNNNNNNNNNNNNNNNNNNNNNNNNNNNNNNNNNNNNNNNNNNNNNNNNNNNNNNNNNNNNNNNNNNNNNNNNNNNNNNNNNNNNNNNNNNNNNNNNNNNNNNNNNNNNNNNNNNNNNNNNNNNNNNNNNNNNNNNNNNNNNNNNNNNNNNNNNNNNNNNNNNNNNNNNNNNNNNNNNNNNNNNNNNNNNNNNNNNNNNNNNNNNNNNNNNNNNNNNNNNNNNNNNGCCGCCCCGCCGCCCGUCGCCGGCGUCGCCCCGCAUCUCCGCCCGGCGCCCCGCCCGCCUCCCGUCCCGCCGCCUGUAGCCCGCCGUCGCCCGGGUGUUGCCGCCCCUUCGCCUCGCUCGCCGCCGGCGAGAUCACGGCCGGGGAAGGACCCCGCCGGCCGGAUCCGCCAUCCCCUGCGUCGAACCGGGCCUCCGCCGCCCCGGAGCUCGCCUGAUUCCGCCGACCUCGCCGGGGCCCGCGCCUGCUCCGACCCGAUCCGCGGGCCCGCACCCGGAUCCAUCUCGCCCGACCCGAUCCACGUUGACCCACGAGGUUGAUUUUUUUCUGUCCUAAAAUUCUAUCAUUAUGUGCCUAUGUUCAUCAUCUCAUAUCUCCAUGCAUAUAGAUCCAUUAGGUGCAUAUGAUAUAUCAAAAUGUUAAUCAUGAGAUGCUCUUCAUUUUGUUACAUUGUGCCAUAUUUGUUUGAGUUCAUCUUGAUUCCCUAAUAAUCGUUGCAAGAGUGAUAUGUGAUGUUGUCUGCUGUAGUUUAACAGAACUUGGUGAUUUGCCUUUUUCAUUGCAUUUUGUGUGUGCAUCCUAUGAGCAUGAGCUCUACACGUGUUUUAAACUUAAUCAUGUCAUCUUUACAGGGGUGCUUGUCUUGUAUUUUUGUGAUCUAUGUGGCGACUAGCACAAGCAUGCAAAGUAGCCUCCAUGAUGUUGCUGAUUUCUGUGACUUGGUCAUUUCUGCUAAGUCUGUAGCUGUAACAUUGUGAUGCCAUGUAAACCUGCUGUCACCAUGAGUUCUAUGCAUAAGCUAGAGUUGUUCACUAAGGCUGUUAUGUUAUAAAUGUUAUGCUCUAUCCCUCUAUGUCCUUGUUUGUAUUUAUAGCCUGUUGUAGCUUGUUGCAAACUUGAUCUCAACUUGCUAAAUAAUGUUGCUGUCAGCUUGUUAACAUGAAGUUCAGUUUUGACAUGUGUUUUGCUAGUGAUCCAUGCACCCUAUGAACUUGCUAUUGGCAUGCUUAGCUUCAUAAUUAUGCCAUAUUACUGUUGGAUACCUUCACACGCCAUGAAAUGCUUUGUGAUGAGUGAUUUGAGCUCGCAAAUAUGCCUUCAUAAUUCUGUUUAUGCCAUGCUCAGUUUUUCUGCUAAGUCUGAAUCUGUUUAUGAAACUUGCUAUGUUUACAUGGGUGCCAUCAUAUCUUCUGUACCUUUUUGGCUCGUGAUCAGUAAGGGAGUUUUGUUCUAUGCAAUUAUUAGAUUCAUGUCAUGCCUUUGUUUGCUAUGAUAUAUUCCUGUAGUAUAUUGUUUGAUAGCUCUAAACUUUGCAACCUGAUGUUAUUUCUGCCAUGUCCAGUGAUUUCCGCCAAGUCUGUGAAACUGUUAUUAUUUGCAAUCUUGUCAUGUCCUUUUGAGCAUAUUAUAGUGUUUUCUGGGAAUAGCUUAGUGUUCAUGUUUUGCAAUGCUUUACCUGCACAUCACGUCCAUGUCUUUUGUUUUCAUGUUGAGGUGCUGUAGCAUGUUGUUUUGAUGCGUGCAAAAUGCCUAGUUGCUAUUUUGGACAGAUUGUUGCUAUAUCUUGUUUGGAGUGUAUGUGUUGCACCAUUGCUCCGUUUUGAGCAUGCUCUAUAUGAAACUUGCUUAGUUUUGCAUGUUGUUUCAAAUUACCUUAUUGCAUCCUUGUUUUGAGUGUGUUUACUUGAUGUUUGAAUGCAUUUUGCAUCAAUGCCAUGUUUAACUUGUUUUACUCAUAUCUUCUAGGCCGUAGCUCCGAAUCUAAUGAACUUUAUAUGUAACUUGACUAGAAUUUCGUGUAGAUCAUCUUGGUGAGUCUUAACUUGCUGUUUAACAACUUGAACAUAAGGUUUAUUCAGAUCUGGACCAAUUUCGAAAUUUGCAUAUAAGGACUUACCGGAAUUGUCAUAUGUUAUUUCCGGCCUCAUUCAAACUUGCUUUGAUGUGUUGCUCUUGUAUGCAUCAUCUCUUGCCAUGAGUAGCUUCAUGUAGCCUUAUGCAUCAUACUUGGUUGAGCAUCAUGUCUUGUUUAUGUGUUGAGUGUUUACCGUGUUGUUUGCUUCUUUCCGGUUGUACUCCUUCUCGUUAGUUCCUGUUUCGUUGCGAUCGUGAGGAUUCGUUCGUCUUCGUGGCUUCAUCUUCUUCAUGGACUCAUUCUUCUUCAUAGCGGGAUUUCAGGCAAGAUGACCGUUACCCUGGAUCUCACUACUAUCAUUGCUAUGCUAGUUGCUUCGUUCUAUCGCUAUGCUGUGCUACCUAUCACUUGCUCUUCAAGCCUCCCAAAUUGCCAUGAACCUCUAACCUUGUCAUCCUUCCUAGCAAACCGUUGUUUGGCUAUGUUACCGCUUUUGCUCAGCCCCUCUUAUAGUGUUGCUAGUUGCAGGUAAAGAUGAAGAUGGCUUCAUGUUGGAUUAUGUUUUAUGUUGGGAUAUCACAAUAUCUCUUAUUUAAUUAAUGCAUCUAUAUACUUGGUAAAGGGUGGAAGGCUCGGCCUUAUGCCUGGUGUUUUGUUCCACUCUUACCGCCCUAGUUUCCGUCAUAUCGGUAUUAUGUUCCCGGAUUUUUGCGUCCCUAACGCGGUUGGGUGUUAUGGGAACCCCUUGACAGUUCGCCUUGACUAAAACUCCUCCAGCAAGGCCCAACAUUGGUUUUACCAUUUGCCUAACAACCUAUUACCUUUCCCUUAGGAGUAAUUAACCCGAGGGUCAUCUUUAUUUUAGCUCCCCCCGGGCCAAUGCUUCUCUAAGUGUUGGUCCGAACUAGAGCACCAUGCGGGACCGUCCCUUGGCAACUUGGGUUACCUUGGUACCUGUACGCUUAGCUCAUCCGGUUGUGGCCUGAGACGAAAUACGCGCGGCUACUAUCAGGGUGUCGGCACACUGGGAGGUCUUGCUGGUCUUGUUUUACCAUUGUCAAAAUGUCUUGUAAACCGGGAUUCCGAGACUGAUCGGGUCUUCCCGGGAGAAGGAAUACCCUUCGUUGACCGUGAGAGCUUAUAAUGGGCUAAGUUGGGACACCCCUGCAGGGUUUUGAACUUUCGAAAGCCGUGCCCGCGGUUAUGUGGCAGAUGGGAAUUUGUUAAUGUCCGGUUGUAGAGAACUUGACACACGACUUAAUUAAAACGCAUCAACCGCGUGUGUAGCCGUGAUGGUCUCUUUUCGGCGGAGUCCGGGAAGAGAACACGGUUUCUGGGUUAUGUUUGACGUAAGUAGGAGUUCAGGAUCACUUCUUGAUCAUUGCUAGCUUCACGACCGUUCCGCUGCUCCUCUUCUCGCUCUUAUUGGCGUAUGUUAGCCACCAUACUUGCUUAGUCGCUGCUGCAACCUCACCACUUUACCCCCCUUCCUUACCCAUUAAGCUUUGCUAGUCUUGAUACCCAUGGUAAUGGGAUUGCUGAGUCCUCGUGGCUCACAGAUUACUACAACAACAGUUGCAGGUACAGGUUAUGCGAUGAUCAUGACGCGAGAGCGAUGUUACUUGUAUUGGAGUUCUUCUUCGAUCAGGGGAUAGGUUCCAGGUCGGCAGCCUGGGCUUGCAGGGUGGAUGUCGUUUGAGCUUCUGCUUGUGUUUCAUCCGUAGUCGGAUGUUGAUCGUAUGUAUGAUGUAUUGAUGUAUUCUUGCGGCAUCUGUAUGCCUUUUAUAUGUAUCCCCAUCUAUUAUGUAAUGUUGAUGUAAUGAUAUCCACCUUGCAAAAGCGUUUCAAUAUGCGGGUCUAUCCUUGGUGGGACCUUCGAGUUCCUCUCGGAUAGGGUCGCAUAUUGGGCGUGACAAGUAGUGUUGAUUACAUCUUGUAGUUGAUGCUAUAUGGUUUAUUUAAUGGAAGAUUAUAUGUUCAGAUUCAUUAUGCUAUUUAAUAUCCCUCUGAUCUUGAGCAUGAAUAUUAUUCGUGAGUAGUUACCUUUGUUCUUGAGGCCACGGGAGAAGUCAUGUUGCAAGUAAUCAUGUGAAUUUGUUAUGUGUUCGAUAUUUUGAUGAUAUGUAUGUUGUGAUUCCCUUAGUGGUGUUAUAUGAACGUCGACUACAUGACACUUCACCACCUUUGGGCCUAAAGAAUGCAUUGUGGAGUAGUAAUUAGAUGAUGGGUUGCUAGAGUGACAGAAGCUUAAACCCUAGUUUAUGCGCUAUUUCGUAAGGGACUUAUUUGGAUCCAUAUGUUUAAUGCUAUGGUUAGGUUUUAUCUUAAUACUUCUUUCGUAGUUGCGGAUUCUUGCGAGGGGGUUAAUCAUAAGUGGGAGGCUUGUUCAAGUAAGAACAACACCCAAGCACCGGUCCACCCACAUAUCGAAUUAUCAAAGUAGCGAACGUGAAUCAAACCAACAUGAUGAAAGUGACUAGAUGAAAUUCUCGUGUGCCCUCAAGAGCGCUUUGCUUAUUAUAGGAGACCGUUCCAGCCUGUCCUUUGCUACAAAAAGGAUUGGACUACCUUGCUGCACUUUAUUUACCGUUACCGUUACUUGUCCAGUACAAAUUAUCUUAUCAUCAAACUACUUGCUACCGACAAUUUCAGUGUUUGCAGAAAUUAACUUGCUGAAAACCGCUUGUCAUUUCCUUCUGCUCCUCGUUGGGUUCGACACUAUUACUUAUCGAAAGGACUACGAUUGAUCCCCUAUACUUGUGGGUCAUCAGCUCACACCACCCUGACCAGUCCGCACCGUCGCACGCAGGACCUAGGUGAACCAAGUCGGUUCUGGCCAUCCACUGCCUCCAUGCGCAGAUCUGGGCGAGAGAUCGCACCGCGGCGCAACAGGAAAACAGAGGUGGAACCAAAAUAGACCGGCGCGCGCCGGAACUGGGCGAAAACCAAGCCAAAAACUGACUUGCCCGCAUUGCCGCACGCAAGGAACCGGCGUUCGUGUUGGACCUGGUUUGCCUGAGUCUCGUCAUGCACCAACAGGCUUGACGGCGCCCCUGCUCCAGGAGCCGGACGUGAAUACGCUCGAAGGGAGGAACCCACCAACCUCAGUCGGCACCACCGCCACCGCCUUCACCAUCCAAACGCCGUUUGACGACGAGAAACUGGCCGCAGGCCCGCCGAAACCCAGAUCGGGCCCGGCCACUGCGAGUCCCUCACAGCCCCGACGCCAAACCUCCGUGCGCCGCACAAACCACCGCGACCUCCUGCCCCUGAUACUAGAUAUCUACAAUAUGAGAGAUAUUUUUUAGAGAGUUGUAUAAUUUUCACAAGACAAUUGCGGUAUCUAAGAUGGACUUUUCUUUUGGUUGUAAAACGGCGGUUAUGAGGGAUGUGGUAGAGUAUAGACGGCCGUUUAUAAACCCCAAAACCUCCCAAAAACCACCAUCCAAAAAUAAAUCUCAAAAAAAGGAAAAAAGAAAAACCCUAACCGGCCUUUCCCUGUUGCCAGUCCCCUCCUGUCGUCGGUCGUCCCAAUGCUGUCCGCCGGCCGCCGCCGUCUCUGCCUCUUCCCCUUCCCUCUCCGCCACUUCACUGCGGCCGUUUCCACCACCACCACCACCACCACCUCCGACGCUGCCGCUGCCGACCCCACUGUCUUCUACCUGGAAUCCACCUGCGCGCUCUCCCCCGCCGCCGCCGCCCGCGCUGCGGACUCCAUCCGCCUCGCCUCCCCGGAGUCCACUGCGCAGGCCGACGCCGUCCUCGACCUCCUCCGCCGGUAUGGCUUCACCGACGCCGAGAUAUCCACCACCGUCCGCAAGUUCCCCAUCGUCCUGGUCUCCGACCCCGUCAAGACACUCCAGCCCAAGCUCGACUUCCUCGCCUCCGUCGGCAUCAACGCGCCGCUCCUCCCCAGGCUCGUCUCCCUCAGCCCCGUUGUCCUCCACCGCAGCAUCCAGGACCAACUCGCCCCGCUCUUCGAAUCUCUCCGCGAGCUCCUCGGCUCCAAUGCCCGCGUCGUCACCGCGCUCCGCCAGAUGCCGUUCGUUGUCCGCUGCAGCCCCAACAGUACCCUCAACCUCGUGCUCCCCGCACUAAGAGAUGUCCACGGCUUGCCCCCGGAGGACGUCUCCAAGCUCGUCGCCGUCCACCCCGGCGUCAUCAUGCAGGGCCCCCACCGCUUGGCCGAGAUCGUCCAGGCCGUCAAGGACGUUGGCAUGGAACCCGGUGAGCCCAUGUUCGUCAACACAUUUUCCAUCAUUUCCAAGAUGAAGACCCCCACACUGGAGAGGAAGUAUGCACUCUACCAGAGCCUUGGCUUCGAGAAGGACAAUGUUGCCUUAAUGUUGCGGCGGUACCCACUCAUGAUGGCUAUCUCAGAGAAGAAGAUGAAGGAAAAUGUCGGAUUCUUGGUCGGAAAGGCGGGUCUGAGCCUGGAAGAUAUCGUGGCCUAUCCGAGCAUGCUGGUGCGGAGCUUGGAGAGCCAUCGCAGGAGGUGUGCGGUGCUCGCACUGCUGAGGAAGGAAGGUAAGCCAGAGGGGAAUCAUCAGCUGCGCAAGGUCCUCGUGGCUAAAAUGAAACGGUUCUCGCAGGUGUAUGUGCAGCCACACCAAAACGAGAUCCCUGAUGUCGUCCGGGCUCUCAACGGAGAGAUCCCUUUCGAGGGCUUCAAUGUGUUGGAGUAGCCACAGCCGCCCAGGAAGAUGAGCCUUUGUUGUCAUCGGCCUAUGCAGUUCUUGGUGGGAUCUGCUUAGGCAGUUUUCUGAAGAUUCUGUUGCUUGGCCAAUGUUUGUUCUUGGUAGGAUUUGCUUAGGCAGCUUUCUCAAGAUUGGUGUUGCUCUUGCAACAAGACUGCCAAGGGUAUGGUUAUGCAAGAACAGAUUUUGAGCUACUGGGUGGUCAUCAAAGCUUGUAGUGUAAUAAAACAUUAACUGGAAGCUAACUUGUUGAGCAAUGAUCAUUGGUAAUUCUAGUUUCAGGCCUCAGAAUGUGUAACAUGAAUUGAAAAUGGAUGUUUCUCAUUAAUGAACAGUCAUUUGGAUGCAGUGAGGCCAUAACGUUUUAGGGGCUGUUUGGAUCGCUACCUUGAGCUGCCCAGCCAAAUAUUUGGCGUUGACCGCAGCGUUGGUAUCCGUUUGGCUGGGCUCCAAAAUUUUGGCUUGCGAAGGCCCAUUGGCUCUUUCCAGUGCAUUCGAUAGCCAAUUCCUGGGCGAGACACCGGCGGCCGAAUCGGUCGCCAAUAUUUUGGCUGCCGAUGGGUUGGCAGGGCUGCUGUGGGCAGUAACCAAACAGCCCCUUACUCUUUUCUUUUUUGACAUAUUUGCACAAUACUCAUGGAAAUCUUGUUCUUGCUUGGCUGAGUUUGAUCUCGAGUGGUCGAUGUGGAACAGGAGGAUGAAAUCAAAGGCAGUCCACAUUUUCAGCCUGCCAAAGACAACCCAUUUGUAAGAACAUGGUAAAUUUUGUGUAAUUCUGUCAAUAUUUUGUAUAUGGUACACCCUCUGUUCAUAAAUAUAAGACGUUUUGGCAGUCUAAAUUGAACUGCCAAAACGUCUUAUCUUUAUAAACAGAGGUAGUACGUCUGAAGACAGCACCCUGUAAGAAUACCAAAGUUGGUAUCCAGCAAAUAGUGUAGUACAUGUCUGUCUGCUUCUGCAUUACUGCAUGCAGUCGAGCAAUUUUGUUUCUUGACCGGGAACAGAGUACGAAAAGAUCCUAGUGUGUGUAUAGUUGAGCAAAUACAGGAAAAGAAGGUAAACUAGUUAAGAUUGACCUGGUUCAGCCAAGAGGAAGAACCAAGAGCUUAGAAUGGUUGGCAGUAGACGCCUGCACUAAACUGGAAUUUGCCUUGUCAAUGCCCAGUUGUGCCAUCUCUCCUGAAUGAGCUCCCAGAACUUGCCUUGAAUCAAAUUUAACCGGAUACCUGUGAUGUUAGAUAGCAGUCGAAUAGGCAAACUAGAUACCAGAAUUGGCAGUCGGUUCAGGCCCCAUGCUCAAAUUCAUGCUGGUGCGGUGGAGAAACGGGGCUUCCUCCUCUGGUGAAAUGGGAAACCUCCACCACCUGGGUGACUGUGGUGGUCGGUGGAGCUUGUUCAGGAGGAACGGUGGCAUGAGAUGGAAGGCCGCGGCCCUGUGCUUGUGGAAUGUGGACGCAGGCGCGUAUUGGCACCAGGAUCAGGACUUGGAUUAUUGCUGAUAUGGAAGGAAGGAAAAAACUGAGGUCAAAUGCAUCAGAGCACACGAUGUACGUCUCUUGUUAUUCCAUAAUAGUAAUCUAUAACACCUCUAUUUUUUUGCAGGGGAAUCUGUAACACCUUUUUGACACUACCGUCGACGCUCGAGAUGCUGAGGCAAGUUUUUGUGAAGCAGCUAGCGAGCCCAAGGGAACAGAACAAACGGAUAUAAUAAGAGGUAAACGGCUGAUAUGAUCUCCAGAAAACCAACUUGUUUACUGGGUCGUCCACUGAACCGAGGUGCGAGGAGUCAUUCUUUGCACCUCCAGCUAAUGACAAGUGGAUCAUCAUAUGCAGGGUGCACAACUGCACACAAGAGGCCUUACACGUCAGGAAGUUCGGAGCAUACAUCUAGAGAUUUUAACAUGUCAAAUUCGUCCAAGUGGUUGCUCUGCGUUUCAUUUGAAAUGAGAAUGGAACGGGUCCUGGUCCUGGAGGCUUUUGAUCUGAGAAAUGGAAUUCUUCCAACUGGGCGCUCUGGCUUUAGGAGCAUGCUGGUGGUGGUGAGACAAAACACCCUCUGAACUUCUCAUGACCCACUUAUAUACGUGAGGAUGCAGUUGCCUUGUUUACAAAUCUGUUUUGUCUCUGUUUUCUUUUCGGAUGAUGAGGAUGAGCCAGCCGAUCCUAACAUAAUUUUGGAGGAGCCGGACGACGAAGCCUCAAAAUCAGAUAAAGAUGUCUCCAACGCGACCGGACUUCCACUAGAUUUUUAUAGGGGUCAGAAUGUAGCGACCAGACCUCAAAUGGUCUGUGCUGCUGUGCACCAGUGUCAUCCCUGAAUCAGUAAUGCUGACACGCACAGUACAAAUGGAGGAUUUAUAACAGAGUAGCAAUCACACACUUAUUACAUCGAAUAUCUCCAAAGAAAUUAAGUAUGAUAAACAUGGCUUAAGGCCAUCUAAAAACGAUAACAGCGGAAGACUUGGAAGAUAAGUGAGUCCAUCAACUCCAGCGGCAUCACUGAGUAUAAGACCACGACCUAAGGCACCUUACUCGUCGUCUGAAAAGUCUGCAACAUGAAACGUUGCAGCCCGAAAACGGGUCAGCACAUAGAAUAUGCUGGCAAAAUAACACAUAGAGAAUAAUGAACAUAAUAAUGCUAUACUACAUGCAUAUAUGGCUGGUGGAAAGCUCUAUGGUUACAAUUUUGCGAAAAGCCAAUUUUUCCCUACUUCAAAGGAAUAAACUUUAUUUAACUAUCAUGGUGGUUGUGAAACAUUGAGAUGGUUGACAGCAUCUCAAUCCCAAUUAAGAAUCAUUAUUAACCCAACAAAAUUAAUUAAAAGUAACAUGGUGAUGAGAUUCACAUGAUAAUCCAAGUACUAGAUACUCAAGUUGUCCAUAACCGGGGACACGGCUAACCAUGAUUAGUUUGUACACUCUGCAGAGGUUUGCGCACUUUUCCCCACAAGACUCGAUCUCCUCCGUUGGAUUACUCGCACUACAUGGUGUUUGAGUAACGGAUGACCGAGACACAGUCUUUCAGAAGUGUUUGCACCUUACGUAUGGGUAGACAGUUACACCUACUUUCCCCUACAUCUGCUAGUCUACCACUGUAAGAGUUCACACAACUUAGUCAACUAUGCUAGAGCCCGUAAUAGCUUGCGGCUGCACACGGAAGUUUCUAGCAUAAAUAAUCUCAUGAUCCCUUUGAACCUGGGUGGCGGUCCAAAAGAAAAACAGGCAAUCCUGGAAUACCCAGGUACCUCAAUCCACCCAGAUGUGAGUUUUAGUUGCCACCUUAAGUAAACCAUUAAUUAACAAUCUCACAUCUGUCAUGGAAAUCCCUCAAACCCAAUCCACGUCUACGAGCAUAGCAUGUCAAUAUAAUAGCAACGUAGAAAUAACUCCCAAGGGUUUGAUAAACAAAACAGGUAAUAGGUACUACCUCAACUACUUCCCAAUACCCAUAAUUUAAUUAGAUCCUAAUCAUGCAAGUGUUUGAGGAAAAUAGAUCUAAUGCAAUAAAAACUGGGUAUGGAAGGUAUAUGAUCAAAGUGUUACUUGCCUUGCCGAUGAUCCGCGAAACCUAGCGAUUCAAAGUAACAAGCGGCACACUCCGGGUACUCUAUCGCAAACAAACAAGCAGACAAUCAGUACUCAUCUAAUGCACAGGUAAAACUCGAAUGAAAGAUCCAACCAGAAAGUUCAACUUAAGAACUCCGGUUUGCAAAAAGAAACAACUCGAACGAAGCAACGAAAGUCAAACGGUGAAAGAAACAAGCUUCGUUUACUAAUCUGGAUCUAGGUCAAAUUUUACAGUAGCAAAAACUUGUUUGAGUAGGUUAAACGGAAAGAGAAUUUCGAGACGAAACUCUAGGCGCUUGAAUCGCCUGAUUCCGAUAAACGAGCGAAAAGUUAAACAAAAACGAAGAUUCGAUCAGAAAUCGAAUCUGAGAUAAUCGCGGAAAAAUCCGACCAAAAAGAAAAACGGACGAACGGUUAAAGAACGGACGUUCGUUAACAGAGAAAAACCGACGAACGCGUUCGUGAACGCUCACAAAAUAACAAAACCGAAAAAAAACCGAUCUAGGGUUUUUUUUAAACGAACGUUUUUUUUAAACAAAACCGGCAACGNNNNNNNNNNNNNNNNNNNNNNNNNNNNNNNNNNNNNNNNNNNNNNNNNNNNNNNNNNNNNNNNNNNNNNNNNNNNNNNNNNNNNNNNNNNNNNNNNNNNNNNNNNNNNNNNNNNNNNNNNNNNNNNNNNNNNNNNNNNNNNNNNNNNNNNNNNNNNNNNNNNNNNNNNNNNNNNNNNNNNNNNNNNNNNNNNNNNNNNNNNNNNNNNNNNNNNNNNNNNNNNNNNNNNNNNNNNNNNNNNNNNNNNNNNNNNNNNNNNNNNNNNNNNNNNNNNNNNNNNNNNNNNNNNNNNNNNNNNNNNNNNNNNNNNNNNNNNNNNNNNNNNNNNNNNNNNNNNNNNNNNNNNNNNNNNNNNNNNNNNNNNNNNNNNNNNNNNNNNNNNNNNNNNNNNNNNNNNNNNNNNNNNNNNNNNNNNNNNNNNNNNNNNNNNNNNNNNNNNNNNNNNNNNNNNNNNNNNNNNNNNNNNNNNNNNNNNNNNNNNNNNNNNNNNNNNNNNNNNNNNNNNNNNNNNNNNNNNNNNNNNNNGGGGUGAGGUGAGAGGAGGGGGGGCUAUAUAUAUAGGAGGGGGGGUCCGGCGACUUGGGGGAGGGGCAAGCCGGGCGGGGGCGGCUUCCGUGUCUGCCAUGGACACGGCGCGGCGGCGGGGCGUCGUGCGAGGAGAGGAGACGACGGGCGUGGGCCGGCGGCCUGGCUCGGCUGGGCUCGGCCCAGCCGGGCGCAGCGUAGUUUUUUUUAAACGUUCCGCGGAAAAUAAUUCAUAGAAAAAUAAAUAAAAGUCCAAAAAAGAUAAAACAAAUUUUCCCCGUCUAGUUAGAAAAUCUAGAAUAGGGUGAACAUUUUUUUGACACAAAAUAAAUUUUGAAAACAUGCAAUAUUUUUUUAAUGCAAAUAAAAUCUGAAUAAAAUCCAAUAAAUGAUUUUAACACUUUUCCUCCAGUAUUUCAAUUGUUUUGGAGAAGUCAUAUUUUCUCCUCUCGUUUAUUUUUAAAAUGAAAUAUUUUUCCGGAGAGAAAAUAAUUAAAACCAGAAUCCUCGUUUUGUAAUUUGAUGAAAAUCAAAUAUGAAAAUUCGAGAAAAUCCCCAACUCUCUCCGAGGGUCCUUGAGUUGCUUAGGAUUUAUCGAGGAUUUGUCAAAAUGCAAUGAAAUAUGAUAUGCAAUGAUGAUCUAUGUAUAACAUACCAAAUUGAAAAUUUGGGAUGUUACACAGAAGGGAAAAGAUAUGCUGUUUUCUAUCAGUCCCAAGCGGAUACUCCCCAGCUUCCACGGUCCGCUUACCGAGGAAGAGAUGCGGGAGGACACAGGGCCAGAGCAAGUUGGGUUGGGGUAUAGAGCCGUAAGCGCGGUGGGGGUGACAGAGGAUGUGCUCGUACGGUUCAUAGUUGGGUAUGAUACUCUCGUGGAUUGUUGGGAAUGUCCUCUAUAUUCGAAAUAUGCCUUUCUAGGAGCAUUACGAUCUGCAGCUCAAAUUGUCCCUUAUGAAGUCUCUAUUGGUCUUAUUCUUAUUGUGCGCCUUGUGAGCAUGUUUGGAUCCGCGAAGGCAAUCGCUCGGAUCUUCCCCUAACCCAACCCGGGAACGGACCGGAGGGAACCACAGCAUGAGGAAUGUCCGCGUCUCGUCGCAAGGCUCAUUUUGAGUUUUGGGUCAUAGGGCGGGCAGUGCAGUCCGGGGCACAAGGGUCCUGGUACUACCCAGGUGCGAAGAACCCCGGAGGCGACUGCAAUGAGCAAAAAUGUAACGCACCGGCCUAAACGACGAGCAAACACUCGAACGUGAGAGCAAGGGAUCACCCAACGAAUGGACGAGCUCCAAGGAGGGAGGAGAGAGGGAGGCAAGAACCAUGCUUUCAGAGAAGUGGCGGUCCGAAUCCACUCUGACAAAAGAAAAUAACAGACUAAGCCGUGCCGAGGGCAUUCUCCACACAGGACGGGGCCAAGGCCUUCAUGUAUGGGUGACAGAUCGGCCAUAGGAGUACUCCGGGAUAUACACCAGGGCAACUAAUGUCGAGCAUACGAUGAUGCCGCCCGUUUUCAUUUCAUGAAAGUCCCCGGCAGAGGAAAGGGCUGUAGGUGAUAGCGUGUUCUGCUUCUUAGGGCGAUGAAAUCGUUCCUAUGGGAUCGUGCGUGGCAGCUGGUAUAGAUGAUGAUGAAAGGCGGGUCGCUUGAACCGGGACCUAUUCUCAUAAUAGGCAGCAAGCAAAGCUAACUAGGAAAGGGGGCGACUGAUGAUUGCCUUUUUCGUCAGAAAUCAAAAAGGGUGGAAUGUGGAGCUAAUAUGGCUGGCUACAAGUAUAGCCAAAGAAAGAUGAGACGAGACGGACUGUCAGAGGACGCAGCGGGACUACCAGGGGAAAGCCCGCCCCCGCUAGCUAACAUAGAUAUCUAUUCUCGGUGCGUAUAUUCGAGAUUUAGAAUCUCUUUUCGACCAGGCCAGGCCGAAUCGGGCCACCACUUGGGAUGGGAAUGGCUCAGCCCACAUGCAUCAUUUGAUGAAAGCACUCCAGUCCAGUCGCCUCCGAUCAGUGGCUUGUCAACCACCGGACCGUAGCUCCUCACCAAAUGCCCCUGCGUUGGGGCAACACAGCACAUGACUAGUUCGCUCAAGGACCACACCCUCUCGAGAGCAGGAUGCCGGCCGAGAUGGAGCGCCAACCUAGACUUUCCUUGGGCUUGCCUUGCCCCAACAUCUAAAUAAAGGGCGAGCGCCGAAAAGGAAGCAGUGACGCCUUUUCGACGAAAGCUUAGCUUGGUAGGCGCAGCUUACUCACCCUACUCCCUUAGACAAUGUAGUCAAUAAUAAAGAUCCCGGAAAAGAUCCAAGGGAGUACAAUACACUUUAUAUUCACGUCUUGAAUAAUGAGGGGGUAAAGAAGAAAGUCCGAUUUCUCUCUCCUUUGCGGAUAUGCCCUUAUUCAGCUCUUGAAAGAAAGAGAGAUAGAAAGAGAGAAUGAUCAAACUCAACUAGACGGCAGUUCCUCUUGUUCAAACCUAUCUUGUCGAGUCUUCUCCUCAUAGCGAGUUUCGCUCUCGCUUCGCGUGUCCUAAACAUAAAAAAAGAAUUGAUUGUGAAAGACAAGUGUUUCAUUCCCCUCCCUAAUCGUUGAUUCGAACUGUUCGCUAGCUCCUCCUUUGUUUGGAUUAUAGCCCUUCCUUGGGGAUUUACUAUCCAAAGUAAAUCUUUCCAGUUUCAAAUGCUACUAUUUCUUCGUGGGCAGAAAGUCCAAAAUCUUCUUUUUCCGGUACUCCUUACUCUUUUCUCCCGUCGUCCUACUUUCACUUCUACGGACCUUCUAUCCAUAACGAGUUCCAGGACUGGUGAAUCGAUGUGGGAAUAGAUAAAACGAUUGUUGAGUACACAGUAUAACCGUGUAGCUCAUCCAGAAGAUCAUCAAUGACCGGUAUCGGGUAUUUCUUUUUUACGGUUUGCGCAUUGAGUUGCCUAUAAUCCAUAGGCGCCACGAAUCUUCUUUCUUCUUGUAAAGAAGAGCCGGUGAGGCAUGAACUAGGUUGUAGAGUACCAUUCUAGAGUAACUCCUUGAUUAUGGCUUCAAUUUCAUCCGGUGGUGUGAAUACCUAUAAGGCCUUUGAUUCACUGGUUGACUAUCGUGAGGUGAAUCCGAUGGUCACAUGGUCUUUUAGGAGGGAGGGUAGUGGGUUCUAAGAACACAUUAGAGAAAGAGGACCAAACCUGCUUGAGUCCUCUUCUACAUCUUGAGUACUUCCCACUCCAAUGGAUCUAGUUUUUAGAAUAGCUUUGAUCCGGCCAUGUAGAGCACUCAUAGAGGUCCGGCUUCACGUCAGUAAUCUACCACACCCAUGCUAGAAUUCAGUAGAGUCCCCACUCACCAACCACGAUGUCUUGGUUGAGAGGCCCCACCUACCCAUCUUCCCACAGUUUCACUGAGGUAGUACCAUCCCCAAUUCGCCACUUCUUGUGUUGAUGUACUAAGAAAUUGGUCGAGGCAAUCGACUUCAAUCAGAGGAAGCACUUGUGCACAUCAACUUAGGAUAUCCCCUCCGUUCUACACCAGAUUAUGCACUCACCUCUGGUAUAAUAUAUGAAAGGAAGACGCCCUUUCAGUGCACGCCAAAGAAGCUUUGCCUAGAAGGCUUCAAAAUACACUAUUAGGUCCCUCAUUCUCAGUCGGCCUUCACAAAGCGGUUUGCACACCUUGGACCAGCUAGACAGAUGUUCCGGCCUUUCUCCUAUUAAAUGCAUCUACCACCUUAUUUUCCAUCUUACCCCUAAUAUUCCGCCUUUGAAAGUCAAAACUCACACUUGCUCAUCUUAGCAUGUAGCUGAUUCCGCAGAAAAAGUGUUAGCUGCAAGUGCUGUUGAUGCUCCUUCAGUGUUUUACUGUCAAGAAGUAUAUCAUCAAACCAACACAAAUCUUCUGGACUUGAACACAUCAUUCAUGAGUGCUUGAAACGUUGCAGGAGCAUUUGUAAGCCUGCAUCACAUUGAAUUCAUAGUUACAGGGUUCUGAAUGAAGUUUUGGGCUUGUCUUCCUCUCUCAUCCUGACCUGAUGAUAGCCAGAUCUUAAGUCAAUCUUGCUGUAAUAUUUAGCACCACUCAUCCAAUAGGGCAUCUAUGUGCCGGAAUUGGGUAUUUCUUCUUUACUGUACUGGCAUUCAGCUGCCUGGUUUCAAUGCACAUCCUCCAUGUCCCAUCCUUCUUCUUCACUAACAACACAGGUGAAGCAAAGGGGCUAGUAGAGGAUUGUAUCAGUGAAUUCUUCAGCAAUUCCUCAAUUCUCAAUCUCAGCCUUUCGCAGAUGUGAGUAUCCGUAUGGCUUCAGAUGUUUGGGCUCAGUACCUUCGGGGGUAUAUAGUGAUCAUGUAUUCUUUUUUUGUAAGGACUUAGGUUCUUGAAACACCUACUCUUAAGAGUUCAGUAGGGUUGAAAUUCGAUCAGAGAUCAGAGAUGUUAGGUUUACUGAGUUGACCAUGCACCAUUGAGCCAUCAUGCAGAACUAAGCUUGUUCUGAUUUAGUAGCAAUCAACUCUUCUCCUUCCACCUGGUACAACUUUCCUCCUCCCCUCUUGAUUCUUUCCAGCACCACUUAAACACUGCAGAAAGGGUUUUGACCAGCUAGUCAAAUUGCCCCAUUACGGGUGUGUUACGCCAGAAAGUUCCUCAAUCCUGUGCCUGUUCCCGAGCGAGUCAGUCCCAUUUCGAUGAUGAACGACACGAUGUGUGCCUCCAUAGAGCUUCCCAUUUGACAUUUCUCCAUCGCGAGAGAUUCUCUCUAGCCACAGGUUCCCCAGUGGUACGUCCGGGAUCGGUUCAAUCAGUGCGCUAUCAGUCCAGUACCAUUAGCUCUCCAAGGGUCGCAAUCCAUUCUUUCCGGGCAAGCCAGUUCAGUUCCUUUCUGGUAGCAAGAGAUCCCAUAUCAGAUUAAGUAAAUGGAUUACCUAGCUAGCGCAUAUCGAAGAGUUGGAGACUUCCUGCCACUAUAAAAAAGCCGUUGAUGGAUCAAUUUCUGUAGGUGGGUCUCAACUCGGAUCAAAACAUUCGGAUUUGCCGAUGAAGAGUACUGCCUUGGAGGGGUAGGGGUUGUAGGGGAAGAACCAACCUUUUGUAGGUAGCAAAACAUCUCACUCAGUAACUAAAUUAGAGUUUGAUCUUUUACGUUUGUGUUGUCUUUUUGCAUUUUUGUUUCGAUGAGACAUCAGAUCUGAGUUAUUGUUCACUGACUAUAUCUUAGACCAUUGCGAUCUCUUUCUUUCACUUGGUUUUUCUUCCUUCCCUUCGGUACUCCUUAACUCGGAGAUACUCCUUCGUUACUACUUGGCUACUACUUGAACAGAUGGGUUUAGUCCCUUCCUUUGGGCAACGUUUUCUCUGGGUACCACCGGCUUACCACCGGGUUGAAAGAAAUCCCUUACUAUUAGGACAUAGUGUUCGGUACGACUUAAGGCUACUGGAUUGACUUUCUUUAAUGUUGCAUCUGCUUUCAACUAUUUUAUAGCCUCCCGUCCCGAGCAAACGUCGAGAGCAGGGUGUUGAGCCAAAAAGUAAAAUCCAUAGAGUUGGGGACUAAAGAGACUCUUUUUUUACAGCCAACCAUGAAGAGAAGAGAGUCUCAGAGUAGAUUCAGUAAUGUUGAGUCGAUCUAGUAUGGAAAAUUCCUCGCUGUGCGCUCGCCUUUUGCCUGCUUCUGCUUCAUCUGCAGAUCGGAUUCCUUCCCCAGAGUUCUUACUUAUAGGCUUUAUAGCCAAGCAAUAGAAUAACUGCUUCUUCUAAAGCGCAUUAGAGUGCAACGACCAAAGCUACGGAGCGGCCUCUACCGCUUUCCCUACUGUUCUGGUUGAACUAGGGCUUUGGCUGAGCGACCACCUUCUUCCAGUAUUCUUAGCUUACUGUCUGCUUCCUGCCUGAUCAGUGUUGAUUGACUGUUCUUGCUUGUCUUGGGCCUGCUCUAGUUUUGGUGCUGCUAACUAAGGGUCGAAUUUCGUGACUUGAUGAAGAGGAAGCCGAGUAUCUUUGGUCUUGAAGAGUCAGGCCAAUCCAACCGCUUGCUCCUGCCCAACUCAGUCUCAGUCGUACCAUAAUGCGCCUGGACUCAACACUUUUCUUGCUCCAAGACCACCCUCUAGCCCUCAUGUAAAAUAGAUGACAGAAUUGUAAACAAUCAUAGAAUGAUUUAAGCUGAGGAACAUAGAGAUCUCUCCCACCAUUUUUGUCAUAUACCUCUGGAAUAGUGUUGAAAUCACACGCCACUAAGCAGUUUUUUAAACCAAGUGGUUUAUCUUAGUGUGCUAGCUGCUGCUUCAUUUCGUAUAGCGAUAACGCUUUCUCUUUCUUAGCGCUCCACCCCGCGGAGAACUCUGGUUGCGCUUUGGUUGGCUUUCUCUUUUUUUCGAUUUUCUCUGACUUGACUCAGCUUUACCUACUUGACUCAGCGGUUAGAGUAUCGCUUUCAUACGGCGAGAGUCAUUGGUUCAAAUCCAAUAGUAGGUAAAGCCGGCCGAAACCCCCGCUUUUGCCGGCAUGACAGCAAGCAUAGACUGGCAUCAAGGAGUAGAAUGACCAAAGCAUCAGUUGCUUCCACUUGUUUGUUGCCUUCUUCGACCGACAGACAAGGUACCCCCUCUUUUUCUCUUGCGAACCUACGUUGAGCUUGGGACAACCCGCGACUGGCAUAGGAUAUUUCAAAAGCGCCAGGAUCCAUCCUUCUUAUGAACCAAGAGCACUGGAGAAGCGAAGGGGCUCGUGCUGCGACGAAUAAUGCCAUUGUUCAUCAUCUCACAGAUUUGCUUCUCAAUCUCUGUUUUCUGGUGGGGUGCAUAUCUAUAUGGCCGGACAUUGACUGGCACCGCACCUGGCACCAACGGAAUUUGGUGGUCACAGGCACGACGAGGGGGUAAUUCCUUUGGCUCCCGGAACAAAGCAUCAAACUCCUGUAGCAGUUCUUGAACAGCUGGAGGUGUCUGCUCUGCAGGAUCAGCAUCCAGAGUAAUUGCUUGCAGAUCAUGCUCCUGGUGAAUCUGACGCACUUGCACACACUGGCUAACAGCACCCCGUUUCAGCAAUCCUUCCAGCUUACAGACAGAGAUUGGACGGCAGGAAGGAUUAUCUUGAAUGCCAUUGAGAGUGAUGCGGCGCCCUUUGUGCGUGAAUUUCAUACGACGAUGACGCCAAUGUACCCACAUCGGGCUAUGGUCUUCGAACCGCUCUUGCCCUCCCCAUUCACUUCCAUAGUGGUGUUCUUUGGUCGGCCCACUCAUUUCACUCUCAAGCUCUCUGAGAAGAGAGAAUCCGAUUCAAGAUGUUUCGAAUUCAGCCUUUCCUUCAUGUUCGUGCUUUAAGUCAGUUCGUACUUUUCAGUAUAUAAGAGAAUGACUGAACUCGCAUUGAAAGCUACUAAACAAUGGCUGACAGAGACUCAUAAGAGGGAGAGCGGUAGCAAAAAUGAGAUCUUUCAUCUAGACAGAAGAGAGAUCCUUUCCUUCCUUUCUAUAGGAAAUGACUGAUGUUGCUAAGUCACCUUCCGCUGCUCUUGCGUCAUCCCUUUUCCAAUUCUUUUUGUAUGGCUCGGUUGCAUCCGAUUGAUCGAUCCCUAGUCACUGAUUACAUGCAUGAGUUCUUUGAUUCACUACUGACUUCUUCUGUGGAGCCGAGUUCGCCGACUGAGACUACUUGAAAAGAAUUUUUGACCAAUCGAUCUCACGACGAUGAGUCACCCACAUACUUAACAAAAAAUGCAAAUAGAAGAGCAAGUAAAUCAAGCUCAAUUACAACUCACUCUGAUCAAAUAGCACUCAGGUAUAGUAUUUCCAGCGGAAAGGUAGCCUUGCUCGCUUCUUUACCCUUGUACGCACAAAUCUAGCUCAUAGCAGCACUUUCGAGUUCGGUUACUUAAGUACAGAGAUUGGAACAACUUAGCGCGGGAAGUCCCAUAUCUUGUCUUAGCCUCGCCUCACCUAUUUCCUCAUAACGAGAUCAGAAUGAAAUAGAAUGGAAUCUCAAGUCUGAGCUAGAUCAGGGCUACCACGUUCCCUCAGACGAAAAAGAAAAGAAUACUAGACCUGUUGGACUCGCAAAGUAGGAUUAGGCUUUUUCUACUAGAAACAGAGGAGAGCGAAAACUAAGUCAAAGGGGGAAGAGCUGUUUAUGAGCAUUUUAAGGCCGGUUGACAACAUCCAAUGUCUCCCACGAGGGUGCCUGAAACUCCAGUUUUUAUAGGCAGAGGUAGGUAUAUAUAUAUUUAACACAUUUUAGUUUGUAGGAAGAUUCCCCGCUCUGAUUUUUUUUCUAUUUGAAGCUUCUUCCAAAGAGGUUGGGAUUCUAGUUUCAAUUGGAUGUGUCCCGGUAAGAUUGUUAACGACUGAUAUACUGCCUGAGACAGGGCAUGCUCUCCCCUCUGCGUAUCGAGAGAAAGAAACAACUUCCUGAUUCCAGUUUCUUUCAUUUAUACCUACGAUAUCCACGCUAAAGAUGAAAACUUUUGCAGUUCAUAUCAGCCUGAAUGAGGAAGUAGAGUCAGUAUCGUCCAUAAACUGGGCCAAAGAUCUGACAGAGGUUGACUUGCUGGCUUGUGAGUUGCCGGCUCCGUAGUUGAUUUCUAACCAGAGGAUAGUGACAACCAAUAUUCCUAUUCCUACUUGUGUGCUUGUUUGCUAUUCUUCCUGUUCCUGUUACGAGACGACCUCGGCUCAAGCUGACCCCACACCGAAAGUCGUCAAGCAGUCUUGGGCUCCAUCAAUCAGUGAGGAGGAAACCAAAACCUGCUGGAGUUUCCCACCAUCACCUUGCCUAGAUCCGGGGGUUCAUACCCUCCGGUAGCAGAGAUGUAAGUCGCAAAGGCUACUUGCCUGUCGAGGGGGGAGAACUACCUAGUAUCAAAUUCACAAAGCAGCACAUUUAGUAGUUGACAUCUUUCUUUCUCGUUUUCAUCGGAAAGGAGAGUUUUCACGUUAAGCAAGAAGAGCUACGAGGUGGAGGGCUAUUUCACCGACCGUCACUUCUCCUUUGUAUCUGCCGAAGACGGAAGUAGCCCAACGACAGGCUUGUGUGGAGUUGAAUGACAACACGCAGAGGUCUUUUGGCGAAACUGGGGGCUCUUUGUCCAAAGAAAGGGCAAAGUCAACAGGCCAAUCCCAGUUUCAGAAUUGGAAGAAGCAGUAGGAGGUUCACCAUCAGAAAGGCAUGGGACAACAAACUCUCUUAAAGCUUUCUUCGAAUAAGUCUUUCGCUUGACUUGGCUCAAUGGCUUUAGUUCAGUAAAUGCUUUCGUAUGAAGCUUGAUUCAAGUCUAGUCUCAUGCAGUGAAGAUCGUCAAGCAAUCAUUGCUCGUCUCUCCGAAACCUAUUGAUAAGGAACGCGUUCAAGUGUAUGGAAUAAUCAAACCUUUCACGUAUUUGUUAACAUAGCGUUGGACGAUUGAUUCCUCUCUUUCUCCAUGCCUGCUUCCCAUAACUGGCCUUACUAAAACUUACGAAAUGGUAAUUUGACCUAAAUUUCCGGUUAACUGCUGACUUUCUUUGCUAGCUCACCCGAAACUCUGUCUUCAGGAGGAAAGCUUGCGUGAGUACCUUACUUGAAAACAAACCGCUUGAGCUGUAACCGAAACAGAAAGGUUUGAUGAGCCGCUGCUUGCUCUCUAACUGCUCUUACCGCUUCUUCUUCUUGACCUCUGCUCACUGCUGCCAAUGCUGUGACUGCCGCCCCUAUCUCUAAAGUUGCAGAUUACAGCUCCUGAUUCAAGCAGUUUUUUUCUGAAGUAUGAGUCUUGUUUGUGACAUUCAACUCCAGAAUGAACAUUCAAAGGAAAAGUAGUAUGGGACGUUGCUUGCUAUUACUGACUGCGGCUGCCGACCGAAGAACUGAGGAUCUUCAAUAUAUGUUUGAGUGCUCUUGCGAAAGAAAAUAAUUUCGAAUGCAAAAAUGACUUCAAAAAUAGGAUAGGAUCGCGGAUUCCAUAUAUUUUUAUAGAAAUAAAGAUACUGUAUUCCAUUUAAUGCCUUCUUGCCUGCCUUCAGUUCAUGCCUUCAGGCCGGCCUGCUCUUGCCUAUGAAUGAGAUGCCUACUUCCCAUUAAGUCAAAAUACCUCAUAGACAUACAUAUUUUUAAGAAUACUUAGUUAGUUAAAGAGAAAGAUGGCUUUUGACAAUUUUUUUAGUCCCCUCGUUCCCGAGCAAGAAAACGGAUGCGCUAACGCGCAACGGCUUUCGCGCUAGUUGCUCAAUCCGUUGCUUGUUCGGAAGAAUCCGCAAAUGAAUAUUCUUUGUUUCCUCUCGGACAGGCCCUCCUUUUUCAUUCAAAUGUACAUCUUUUUCGGUAAUGAUCAUCUACAACUGAAAGACUGACGUCUUCCUCUACUCGAUCCUUAGUUAUACAAUCUCCCUCCACCUCAAUUUUUAUGAUCCUCAUAGCCUUUUUUAUUCGCGUCCUCCCCCUGGAUCUAUUCCUGCCGCGUCCACGUCCUCUGCCUCCAGCAACUAGAGCUGCAUCAUCUUGUUCACUAUUGAGAAUAGGCCUCUUCUCACACCGUACCAGUUCUUUUUGCAGUUGAAUCUUCCCGUUCUGGCUUAUUGAGUGUAUAGAUUCUUUUUGAAAUGCAAUCUAUUACCACGUCACUCUUCUCAUAACAUAUCCUGUUCUCCUCACUUUGAUUCUGGAUUCACCGGUUGAUUUAAGACGGGGUUCUAUGCUUUCUAGCCCCAUUUGACAAAAGUGAGCUUCCCCUAUCUCUUUUGUAGGAAUCAGAUAGCAAUGCUCAUUCGUGAAUAGCAUUUCAUGCUUCCGCUACUUCGUCGGAGAGAUCCAUGGAAACUCAAAAAAGAAAAGCGGACGGCAUUGUUCAUACGAUAGCCGGAAAAGUAAGUUCUCCCGCCGGCUAUUCAAAAAAGAAAGACUUACUUAUUCAUAAACUUCCUUUUAUCGAGCAUAAUAGCUCUUAUACGCUUGUAUAGAGGAGUAUAAAACAAUGUAUAUAUAUAUAUAUAGGUGUUUAGUAUCCUACAAAAACAUUAACAUCCAAAGCACCGUAAGCUUGCUUUCUCUCCCGCUGACAGACAAAGAAAAGGUUUUUUUAGACUUUUCUAUGGUAGGCCUACGCUAGUGGAAUAUCUUUUUUGUUUGUAUUCUUGCUUAACUCUCUCUAUUCUUUGCUUAAGCUAUCGUGUCAUGUAGAUGGAUGGCAUCUCCCUAUUCCCACAUGCUCGGAUAUGAUUAAUGCAUGGAAGCUAAGGAAUUGGGUCAUUCUUCAGCCCAAGAUGCAAGCAUUUGGACUCCAUCCGAAUAUGGCAGUUGAACUCUUAUAAUAGGCCUGGCUCUGGAAAAUGGGCUUAUCUUGGGCAAAAAAACACAAAUAAAGAAGAGCUUCUUGUUUCCAAGCGGAACUUUAAUGGGCUGCUAGCAGAUUUGUUUUGGAUGGCAAGUUAACACCGUGGGUAUGCUUGCCUUUCACUCGCUCUGGCACAUUUUGGCAGAACGUCAACGUUAUAUGUAGUGGAAUUCUAGAGGUAAGUUAAUGUUUCCAAAAAUCCAAAUGGAAAAGGAUUUGCAAAAAUAUGUAGAUUAGAAGCUACUAUCUCCAGUUUUAUGAGAGAAAGAAGAGGAAGAAUCGGCGAACAUCCUAAAAAAUGGUACUUUUGUCUCAAUCCGAUCAAAAACAAACAUAUUCUAUUGUGUGUUGACCACUGGGAAACGAAUGGAUUAAGAUGAAGACGGAUGGUUCAAUUAGCGAGCAUGGGAAGGCUUGUGGAGGUUUUGCAAUAAAAAGGGGAUAUAUGUGUUCUCUCAAGCAGUUAAGAACAAGACCAUACUCGAAGUCGAGCUCUUUUGCAUCUGAACAUGUAUUCAAAUAGUAGCCGAAAAGGAGUGUCAGAGGAUUUGGAUUGAUUCGGAUUCCCUAACGUAAGACAUGGUCUACUCUCAAGAUCCCAAAGUCCGCAGCUAAGGAAAGCCCCUUCUUCAUAAGAUCAAGAAAGUACGAGCGUCUUUCGAAGAUUGGAAAAUCUCCCAUACUUGGAGAGAAGCAAACCAACCGGCCGAUUUGCAAUUGACUAUGCUUAGUAGUUGACAUCUUUGGUCUUCACAUUUUCCCUUCCAUUUGUAAAGUUAGUAGAAGAGGACAGAUCCGGUAAAUUGACGAAUGUCAAUCUUCAUUUUUGUAGAUUAAUACACUGGUAGGGGUCGAUCAGGCAAAUCCCAAAGCUGACCCCCGAACAGCUGCCGGACUGAUCUACUGAUCUUCUCUCUCUUCAAAAUAACGGAACCUUCUCAAAGACUCCCUUUGCACUGAGAACACAAUUUAGAACCCUCCUUCUCACAAGAAGGCAAACCUUGUACGUCGAUCGAAUCUUCUUUCGCAUCCAGAAGAGAGGCUGUGGGCUAUCCGAGAGAGUGGUUCAGGUGACUACCGGAGUCAUUGAUUAAGCAGGUCAGAUGGGCUUAGUAGGGCUCGAACCUACAAUAUCACCGUUAUGAGUGGUACGUUUCAACCAAUUAAACUAUAAGCCCAAUCGGAUCUCUACAUGCCGGGAAGAGCGGACAGAAAGAGGAGACCUUUGCUCUAUCUCCUUCUUCCUCUUCCCGGGGCCCCGGAGGGGUUCUUUGGCAAGCCCUAUCAAAGAAGCUAAGUGACUUUCGUCACUCAAGUAGUGAGUUUGAGAGUGACCGUUAGGGCGACCACUUGUACUUCUAGGCCUUGGCGACCUAUAUGUUACGCAACACAGCUUCACUCGAUUCAGUAAAUCAAUAGUUCAAACCAGCCCACUAAUAGCUUCACAGCUUCACUCAAGGUUCAUAGGAAGGGGGAACCCAGACAUAGUGGGAUGUAGGCUUCAGUUGUUUUGGUACCUUUUCACUACGUCUUAUUAUUUGUUUUGUAACCGGCUUUUCACUGGCAGAUCAGUAGGCCUUUUAGAAGGCGAACAAACGAAAGUUCUCUGCGGGCGCUAGCGCUAUCUUGUUCGCUUUUGUCAACUGAAGUCGUGCGUAGCGCCAACUAACUGAUAGCUGAUAGAGCGCGGAGCCCCUUCUCUAAUCAAGCAGAGCCAUUUCUUUCUACUGUCGUCAGAAGAAAAAGAAAAGUACUAAAGGCGAAGGGCAUUCUGUUGUACAGCUACUUUGGUAUAGUUACAAAGGUAACUGGUAGGUGACUGUUGAAUCGAUAGUAGUUACGAAAGGGGGAAAUAGCUCAGUUGGUUAGAGUGCUGGUCUGUCACGCCAGAAGUCGCGGGUUCGAACCCCGUUUUCCCCGCCCGAUCUUCCUCUUCCUGCCCGACUCAUUUUGAAAACACUGGAAGCUGUUGAUCCCAGCGUAGCAUUCAAGACAAUUGUUCCUUCUUCGGUCUCCCUCCACCCCCUUCGUUUCUUGUGGGUCUCACCGCAGGCACUUACUUAAUGAAUGAGUGAAGAUCUUCCUUCCCCCCUUGUGUCUUACCAAGGACCGAGUUCCCACUUGUGGCAAAAAAAAGUAUACCAUCCCACCCGGCCUAACCCGGGGGGUUAAGGUUCCUCUCGGAGACUGCCAGUCUACAAGAAGCUGGCAGAGCUUUAGCCAUUGGACCACAUCCAUCCAUCCUCCUACCUAAAGACACCUUUUCUUGUUCGUUCUUCGAAUUACGCUAGUGGAGAGUAAUUCCUUCCGGCUAAUGAAGAUACUACCCCAGUCUUCCCAUUCAUUCCCAGUGGAUCCUUCUUAUCCCUUUUCAUUGAACGAACCAAGUUCACCUAUACGAUUCUGCAGAGUCUACUUGAGCUGACUGUGCAUAUGAAGAACCCCAGUGGUAAAUGAAACUUUUGUUCAUUGACUACAUUGCCUGGUUUUGAUAAUGCGCAGGACCCGUGCAGCGGCGGCUGCUUCCCUCCAUAUACCGUGGAAAAUUUUCGUUACCACUGGGUUUAGCUUGGUGCAUAUGAGGAUCCUUUGUGGUUUGAAUAAUAGGCUCUGGUCUCGAUAUUGGGCUAUGGGCUGAUUGCUUUCUGUAUGAGCCUCUUGUGAUUGGGCUCUCGUGGGCGGAUUACCCGAUGUGUACUCAUCUUCCAACAAAGAGGAGAAGACAUAACCAGAAGAGUUGUGAGAAAUAAGUCAAUUUAUCAAGUUGAGGCAUUUCGAUUUGGAUUUCAAAUAAGAAAGACAGAAAAAGACUCCUGCGCCCUCGAGAGCAUUCUCUUUCACUUGCAUUUCUUCCUGAAGUUGGCUCGAAGACCUGUCCAGCCUUGAUUUUCCCAGUUAUUACUCGAGCGCGCUGAGGCAACUCUGAACUAAGCUCAGGGGAGGGUAGUAGGUAUGCUUCAAACCCUCCGGCACCUUGAAGAACGAUGGCACUAGAUCGGGAAAGAUGAAUGACCAAUGAGGACAGGACAAUGGGGGAAGUUGGUAAUACAGAAUCCUCCCUUCUUCUUUGCUUUCUUGCCUGAAAAAAUCCAAAACUAACCAUUGGAACCUCAUGGGCUACCGAGUUAGGAGAUUCAUUUUAUUUAUUAUUUUUACUUUUUUUACUAAGUUAUUCUAAAAGAUAAGAGCUAACCGACCAUCCUGAUUGAAUGUUUGAGUACUCGGAGUCUCUCGUAAGUAUGGAAAGAAAGUCUCUUCUUUCCACAACUCCUAAAUUUCCCAUCAGCCUAUCCAAUCUAAUUCCAGACAGAGUCAGUAGACCUUACUUUAGUGUAGGCAGUGUCAGAUAAUUAGGAAGUCUUGAUAGUCUUUCGUAUAAUCUCUUCUUCAAUCCUAGGAGCAAAAAAGGAAUGUCCUUAGGGACCUUUGGAUACCAAGAUUUCCGACCUCUUACUUUCGUAGUUAUGAAUUGCGGAAUAGAAUCAAUUAUGAAAUUCAUAAGUAUAUAUCCCUCAUCCCUAUUGGUAUCGGUUUGGGCCACUACCCAGAACCCUGCCAGAGCCCUAUUUUUAAGAAGAAAUUGACA
Molecule: long non-coding RNA, 61509 nt
Filed under: Triticum aestivum (bread wheat)
Lineage: Eukaryota; Viridiplantae; Streptophyta; Magnoliopsida; Poales; Poaceae
Description: long non-coding RNA (TAES_LNC019488)
Rfam family: tRNA (bases 59770-59843)
Source: RNAcentral